UUACGAUGGCUGGUCGGGGGCCGAGCGAUGCACAUUUCUCUCAUACGUACGCGCGUGUGUUCGAGGCGUUGGGCUCUAACUGAACCCGAGCGAGGCGUUGGGCUCUAACUGAACCCGAGCGAUUGCACUACAGGCUACGUGUUACUGAAGCCGAGCGAGCAAUCGAUCCCUUGCUGUUAACUGAACCCGAUCGAGCGAUUCCUUCGCUACUGCUGCUAACUGAAGCCGAUCGACGCUGCCUCUGGAUGAACAGUGAGUGUUGUUGGGGGGUUUGGAUGAACAGUUCCCGGUGGGGGUUAGAUGAACAAGAACCCGUGGUAGUAGAGGUCGUUGCCGCUGGAUGAACAGUACCCCGAUCGAUCGAGCCGGUGGAUGAACAGGACCCCGUGGAGGGCUGGAUGAACAGGACCCCGUGGAGGGCGGGUUGAACAGUAGCCGGUGGAGGGCUGGUUGAACAUUAGCCAGUGGAGGGCUGGAUGAACAAUAGCCCGUGGAGGGGUGGUUGAACGGGACCCCCGUGGAGAGGGCUGGUUGAACAGUAGCCGGUGGAGGAGCGCGCGGUGGAGGCUGGAUGAACAGGAGCCCGUGGAUGAACAGUCGCAGGUGGAGGCUGGAGGAGGUCGACGGUGGAUGAAUAGUACCCCGUGGAGGCUAGAGGAGGUCGACGGUGGAGAUGAACAGUAUCCCGUGGAGUCCCGUUUUGCGGUACGCCACACCCCUCCCGAUGAACAGGACCCCCGUUUCGACCGUAGCGCUCCAACACAAGUCUGUUUCCUCCGUUUUGCGGUACGCCACACCCUCCCGAUCAACAGGACCCCGUUCGAUUGUAGGAGGUCCGUUUCCUCCAUUUUGCGGUACGCCAGACCCCUCCCGAUGAACAGGAUCCUGUUUCCACCGUGGCCGGUCGAACACAAGGCUGUUUCCUCUAUUCUGCGGUACGUCAGGCCUUGUUUCCAUCUGUUGUUCCGUCCAAGCCGGUUGGCUCCCGAUGAACAGCACGCGUUCCGUUGCCUCCCGAUGAACACGACGCAUUCCGUUGCCUCCCCAUGAACACGAUGAUGAUGCAGUUUCUCCGUUCCAACCCAGCCACAGCCAUGUACACGAGCCCUGGCCGUACGUAUGCGCGAGUAGGCGUUCGAGACCCCGCCCGUAUGUAUGUACAUGGCUGUAUUUACUUUUUUGCACCCUGGCCGUUGUACGUAUGUGUACAUGCUUGAUACGUCUCCAACUAUUAUAAUUUAUGAAGUAUUCAUGCCAUGUUUAAAAUAGUUUUAUAUGAUUUUGGUAUGAUUUGGUUAGAAUUAACCAGACUGACGUUGUUUUCAGCAGAACUACCGUGGUGUUGUUUUUGUGCAGAAAUAAAAGUUCUCAAAAUGCGCUAAAAAUCAACGGAGAAUUUUUCUUGAAAAUAUAAAAAUACUGGAACAAAAAUCUAUCGGAGGGGAGUCCCGUGGGCCCCACGAGGGUGGGGGCGCGCCCCUGUGCCUCGUGGACUACCCAUGGGGCCCCUUGACUUGUUCUCGACGCCAACCUCUCCUAUAAAUACCCAAACCUCCAGAAAUUAACCUAGAUCAGAAGUUCCGCCGCCGCAAGCGUCUAUAGCCACGAGAAAUCAAUCUAGGCCCUCUCUGGCACCCUGCCGGAGGGGUCCAUCAUCACCGGAGGCCAUGGAGGAGGAUCCCGGAGGGGCCACCAUCGCCAUGACGGCCAAGGACCAGAGGGAGAACCUCUCCCCAUCUAGGGGAGAGCCAUGGAGGAGGAACCACAAGGGGGAGAACCUCUCCUCCUCUCUCUCGGUGGCGCUGGAGUGCCAUCGGGAGGGGAAUCAUCGCCGCGGUGAUCGUCUUCGUCAACAUCACCAUCAUCAUCACCAUCCUCACCUCUUUUACGCGGUCCACUCUCCCGCACUCCGCUGUAAUCCCUACUUGAACAUGGUGCUUUAUGCCACAUAUUAUGAUCCAAUGAUGUGUUGCCAUCCUAUGAUGUUUUGAGUAGAUAUCCUUUGUCUUUGGGUUGAUUGAUGAUCUAGAUUGGUACGAGUUGUAUGUUUUAUUUUGGUGCUGUCCUACUGUGCCCUCCGUGUCGCGCAAGCGUGAGGGAUUCCCGCUGUAGGGUGUUGCAAUACGUUCAUGAUUCGCUUAUAGUGGGUUGCUUGAGUGAUAGAACCAUAAACCCGGGUAAGGGGGUUGUGGCGUAUGGGAUAAAGGGGACUUGAUGCUUUAAUGCUAUGGUUGGGGUUUACCUUAAUGAUCUUUAGUAGUUGCGAAUGCUUGCUAGAGUUCCAAUCAUAAGUGCAUAUGAUCCAAGAAGAGAAAGUAUGUUAGCUUAUGCCUCUCCCUCAUAUGAAAUUGCAAUGAUGACUACCGGUCUUGUUAACAAUUGCCUACGAUAAUUCUGCACACCGAUCCAUCAUUAUUCCACACUCGCUAUUUAUAACAUUUAGUAAUAUAUUCUAACUUUAUGAUAACAGCACCUACUUUUAUAUUUUAGCUCUCCGAUAUCAUGCAAAGUUAUCCUCUUCAUACCCACAACGUAGUUUUAUUUCUCGUUUCUAUUUGGAAGCAAACAUUCGGUGUACGUAGAGUCGUAUCAGUGGCAGAUAGGACUUGAGAGAAUAUUGAUCUUACCUUUAGCUCCUUGUGGGUUCGACACUCCAUAAUUAUCACUUCCACCAUUGGGAAUUGCUACGACGAUUCCCUGCACUUGGGGAUUAUCAAGCUCUUUUCUGGCGCCGUUGCCAGGGAGCAAUAGCAUGGGGUUGAUAUUCUCGUGUGUGCUUGUUUGCUUUCUUCACUAAGUAGAUUUUGUUUUUCCUUUUUGUUUCUGUUUAGUUGUGGGUGAAACAUAAAAAAAUUAAAAGAAUGAAAAUACGAAAAAUAUUACUUGCCUCUCAUGCCUAAAAGGUUUUUCAAAAAGAGAAGUGAUUGGAAAGUUAUGCAUUGAAGAAGUGAGGGUCGACCUUGAGCACUUGUGUUCAUGCUCAUGGAAACAAUGUAUAAUUUUUCAUGGAAGUUCCUCUGUAAAUAAUUAUCCCCUUGUAUAUAUCCAUUGUAUUAUAAAAAUAAUGUGCCAAGCUUUGGUUUUAGGAUGAUUAGAUUGCUUGUUUACUUUGUGCAGUACAAAAUCAGAAACUUUGGCUGUAGCGCGUGAAUUUACAUUUUUACUGGAAAGUCAAAUGGGUCUGAACUUUUUGCGCAUUACUUCUGUACAAAUUGUUUAAAUUUUCCUAUUUGUUCUAGAACUUUUGGAGUUCCAGAAGUAUACUAAACUUCCAGAUUACUACAGACUGUCCUGUUCUUGACAGAUUAUGUUUUCCAUGUGUUGUUCUCUUAUUUUGAUGAAUCUAUGGGUAGUAUCGGGGGGUAUGAACCAUGGUGAAGUUGGAAUACAGUAGAUAUAGUUCUAUUAUGAAAUUGGAAUGAGUUUGCAACAGUACCUAAAGGUAGUGAUUUGCUUUAUUAUACUAACGGAUCUCACAAAGUUUUUGUUAAAGUUUUGUGUUGAUGAAGUGUUCGAAGAUCGAGGAGCUAUCAAUAUGAGAAGAAUAAAGAGAGGCAAGAGUUCAAGCUUGGGGAUGCCCAAGGCACCCCAAGUAAAUAUUCCAAGGAUAUUCAAGCAUCUAAACUUGGGGGUGCCCCGGUUGGCAUCCCAUCUUUCUUCUUCAACAAUUAUCGGUAUACCUUAGUUUUUGUUUUGUUCACAUGAUUUGUGUCCUUUGUGUUUUUCUUUUUCUUUAAGAACCAUGCUAGUAUGAUAUGUCCCUUCAUCGAUUUAUAGAAUGAUUCAUGUGCUUCACUUAUAUCUUUUGAGUAUGACCUUAUAGAAUGCUCUUUGUGCUUCACUUAAAUCUUUUGAGUAUGUUUUUAUAGAAUGCUUCGUGUGCUUCACUUAUAUAUUUUGAGCUUGGAUAUUGGUUAGACUAUAUUAAUUGUAGAAUGCUCCAUGAACUUCACUUAUAUCUUUUGGAGUAUGAAUAAUAUUAUCAUCUAAAGCGGGUUUGGAAGACUGUCAACUUUAGGAAUUAGUGAUCCCACUAUUCUGAAUGAGAAGAAUUUUACUUAUGUGGAGAGUAGUAAAAUUUCUAUGCUUGUGAGAUCAUGAAAAGAAUGCUUUAUUUGAUGGUUCUAUUGUUGAAUUCAUUCAUUAUGCUACUGAAAAAUAUUAUGAGGGAGGAAUAUAUGCUUGUAGGAGUUGCAAUAAUAUCAAGUUUCCUCACUAUGUGCUUAAAGUUUUGAAGUUAUACUUGUUUUGCCUUCCUAUGCUAGUUGAUUCUUGUUCCUAUAAAUUAUGUGCUCACAAAAUCCCUAGGCAUAGGAAGUGUGUUAGAUUUAAAUGUGCUAGUCAUAUUCUUCAUGAUGCUCUCUUUAUGUUUCAAUUCUUUUCUUUUAUGUGAGCAUCAUUGAAAUCAUCAUGCCUAGCUAAAAGGCACUAAAGAAAAGCGCUUCUUGGGAGACAACCCAAUAUUUACCCUUACUGUUUUUGUGUGUUUACAUGAUUAAGAUACUGUAGUAAUCAUGUUUUAUAGCUUUUGUUUCAAUUAAGUGCCAAGUAAGACCUUUGGGAAGACUUGGGUGAAAGUUAAUGUGAUCUUGCUGUAAAAAACAGAAACUUUGCACUCACGAGAUUAGCUGCCAUUUUUUACAUAAGAGUGCUUUUGAGUUGAUUCUUUUUGCAUAAGAUUAAUAGACAAAUUACUCACGUCCACAAAUUUAUUUCAUAAUUUUUGGAGUAGCAUAAGUAUGGUUUCUGUUCAGAUCAUUACAGGCUGUUCUGUUUCUGACACAUUCUGUUUUCAUUGCAUAGUUUGCUUGUUUUCUAGUUUCUAUGGAUUAUAUUUCUCAAUAUAAAUUUUAGAAAUCAUAUGGUACAGUAGGCAUUGUUUGAGAACAAUUAUGAACCUUGUCUUUGACAGUACCAAAGUGAAUGGUUUACUCUUUAUCAUACUAACCUAUCUCACGAAGUUCCGUUAAGUUUUGUGUGAUUGAAGUUUUCAAGCUUUGGGUGAGAUAUCGAUAUGAGGAGAAUAAAGAGUGGAAAGACCCUAAGCUUGGGGAUGCCCAAGGCACCCCAAGGUAAUAUUCAAGGAAGACUCACGCGCAUAAGCUUGGGGAUGCCUCGGAAGGCAUCCCCUCUUUCGUCUUCAAAACAAUCGGUAUACCUUACUCGGAGCUAUAUUUUUAUUCGUCACAUGAUAUGUGUUUUGCUUGGAGCGUAUUUUCAAUUUUACUUGCUGUUUAAAUAUAAUCAUUGGAUCUGAAAUAUUGAAUUAAAAAAGAAUCCUCCCAUGGCUAGUUAAUUAUUUGACUACUCAGUGUUCUUCACUUAUAUCUUUUGGAGUAGUUUGUCAUUUACUCAUGUGCUUCACGUAUAUCCUAAGAGUAAAUGGUUGAAUGAAUUGAAUAUCACAAAUAUGAAUUUAUAUAUGUUUCAUAUGCUUAUACCACGGGGAGUAAUGACUUCACACAAAAUAAGUAUAGGUAGUAAACUUAUUUGAAAGUUAGCAAACGCAGAAUUGGUCACUCGAACAAUUCAUGAAAGAAUAUUGAAGGAAGAGAGAUUUCACAUAUAAAUAUACUUUCUUGGACAUCUUUUGUAAUUGUGAGCACUCAUUAAAAUAUGACAUGCUAAAAGGUUGAUGUUGGACAAGGAAGACAACGUAAUGGGUUAUGUUUUCUUAUAUCCGAAAUAAAGUAUAUUGUCAUGGAUCAUCCAACAUGCUGAGCUUGCCUUUCCCCCUCAUGCUAGCCAAAUACUUUGCACCAAGUAGAGAUACUACUUGUGCUUCCGAAUAUCCUUAAACCCGGUUUUGCCAUGAGAGUCCACCAUAUCUACCUCUGGAUUGAGUAAGAUCCUUCAAGUAAGUUGUCAUUGUUGCAUGCAAUAAAAAAUUGCUCUCUAAAUAUGUAUGAUCUAUUAGUGUGGAGAAAAUAAGCUUUAUAUGAUCUUGUGAUAUGGAAGCAAUAAAAGCGACAGACUGCAUAAUAAAGGUCCUUAUCACAAGUGGCAAUAUAAAGUGACGUUCUUUCGCAUUAAGAUUUUGUGCAUCCAACUAUAAAAGCACAUGACAACCUCUGCUUCCCUCUGCGAAUGGCCUAUCUUUUAUUCUUGUCUUAUACCUUAUAAAAGAGUCAUGGUGAUCUUCACCUUUCCUUUUUACAUUUUAUCCUUUGGCAAGCACAUUGUGUUGGAAAGAUCCUGAUAUAUAUAUAUCCAAUUGGAUGUAAGUUAUCAUGAACUAUUAUUGUUGACAUUACCCUUGAGGUAAAAGGUUGGGAGGCAAAACUAUAAGCCACUAUCUUUCUCUGUGUCCGAUUAAAGCUUUGAACCCACAAAUAUCACGUGAGUGUUAGCAAUUGUGAACAAUUAAAUGAUAGUUGAGUAUGUGGAGUUUGCUGAAUCAAAGCUCUUACAUAGACCCUUACCGAAAAUAAGAUGAAUUGCAAUUGUUUGAUGACUAAGAGCACGGUUUGUUAGUUUUCAAGAAAGUUUAUGAUCUAUACUUUAACAUGUGAAUAGCUUGCUACUUGAUCAUGAGAAGUUUUAUGAGUUGAGCUACUGUUAUGAUAUAUAAUGAUGCUAUAAAAAGUGUUUGAAAUUAAAAUUGAUCAAACUUAUGCACUUGAUAGCAUUCACACUUCAUAAAUUAUUUCUUUUAUCAUUUACCUACUCGAGGACGAGCAGGAAUUAAGCUUGGAGAUGCUGAUACGUCUCCAACGUAUCUAUAAUUUAUGAAGUAUUCAUGCCAUGUUUACAAUAGUUUUAUAUGAUUUUGGUAUGAUUUGAUUAGAACUAACCCGGACUAACGUUGUUUUCAGCAGAACUACUGUGGUGUUGAUUUUGUGCAGAAAUAGAAGUUCUCGGAAUGCGCUGAAAAUCAACGGAGAAUUUUUCUUGAAAAAAUAAAAAAUACUGGAACAAAAAUCUACCGGAGGGGAGUCCCGUGGGCCCCAUGAGGGUGGGGGCGCGCCCCGUGCCUCGUGGACUACCCGUGGGGCCCUCUGACUUGUUCUCAACGCCAACCUCUCCUAUAAAUACCCAAACCUCCAGAAAUUAACCUAGAUCAGAAGUUCUGCCACCGCAAGCCUCUGUAGCCACGAGAAAUCAAUCUAGGCCCUCUCUGGCACCCUGCCGGAGGGGGCCAUCAUCACCGGAGGCCAUGGAGGAGGGUCCCGGAGGGGCCAUCAUCGCCAUGAAGGCCAAGGACCAGAGGGAGAACCUCUCCCCAUCUAGGGGGAGGCCAUGGAGGAGGAGGCAUAAGGGGGAGAACCUCUCCUCCUCUCUCUAGGUGGUGCCGGAGUGCCAUCGAGAGGGAAAUCAUCGCCGCGGUGAUCGUCUUCAUCAACAUCACCAUCAUCAUCAACAUCCUCACCUCUUUUACGCGGUCCACUUUCCCGCACCCCGUUGUAAUACCUACUUGAACGUGGUGCUUUAUGCCACAUAUUAUGAUCCAAUGAUGUGUUGCCAUCCUAUGAUGUUUUGAGUAGAUAUCCUUUGUCUUUGGGUUGAUUGAUGAUCUAGAUUGGUAUGAGUUGUAUGUUUUAUUUUGGUGCUGUCCUACCGUGCCCUCCGUGUCGCAAGCGUGAGGGAUUCCCGUUGUAGGGUGUUGCAAUACGUUCAUGAUUCGCUUAUAGUGGGUUGUUUGAGUGACAGAAGCAUAAACCCGAGUAAGGGGGUUGUGGCGUAUGGGAUAAAGGGGACUUGAUGCUUUAAUGCUAUGGUUGGGUUUUACCUUAAUGAUCUUUAGUAGUUGCGGAUGCUUGCUAGAGUUCCAAUCAUAAGUGCAUACGAUCAAAGAAGAUAAAGUAUGUUAGCUUAUGCCUCUCCCUCAUAUGAAAUUGCAAUGACGACUAUCGGUCUUGUUAACAAUUGCCUAGGAUAAUUCCGCACACCGAUCCAUCAUUAUUCCACACUCGCUAUUUAUAAUAUUUAGUAAUAUAUUCUAACUUUAUGAUAAUAGCACCUACUUUUAUAUUUUAGCUCUCCGAUAGCAUGCAAAGUUAUCCUCUUCAUACCCACAACAUAAUUUUAUUUCUCGUUUCUAGUUGGAAGCAAACAUUCGGUGUACGUAGAGUCGUAUCAGUGGCAGAUAGGACUUGAGAGAAUAUUGAUCUUACCUUUAGCUCCUUGUGGGUUCGACACUCCAUACUUAUCACUUCCACCAUUGGGAAUAGCUACAAUGAUUCCCUACACUUGGGGAUUAUCAAUGCUACAUGCGCGCCUCUACUACCACACGUGUGUCCAUGUACUACCACACGUGCCCUUCCUUACACGGCCAUGGUUCAUCGCUGCAGCCUGCAGACAGACCGAUCGACCAGUAUGUACGUACACGUUCGCGACCAGAAUGACAAUGAUACGUACGCUUCGACCAGGUAGGUCCCAACUGUCAGGCACUUCCUUGCGUGCGAAGAUGUAGCUGGUGGGUCCCAGCAGUCAGGGGGCGAAUCAUUUUUUUUGCCCAUAAUAUGGACGCACUUCCUUGCGUGCAAAGAUGUAGCUGAUGGGUCCCAGCAGUCAAGGGGAGAAAACAUUAUUUUUCAGGGUAAAAAGGAUGCAGUUGCAUGCAUGCGUCCAUGGGAGUGGUGCGUCCCCACUGUCAGCCUCUCACGUACAGUCAUCUUCCGAUGACUCUUGGUUGUUGACCACGUUGACCACACCAUGCCGAGCGCACCAAGGCCGGUGGACGACGGCGAGGCCCCAAACUGGAACGACCCGGAGAUGGGGACGAUGCAGCGGUGGAGUCGCAGAUGGAGAGGAGUGGGAAACUUGACUGGUUCGGGUGCACGGGAGCACUGCCGCCCACGGGAGACAGGAGCAAGAACAGAGGUUGAAGAAGGAGCACGGUUGUUGGAUUAACAUCCAACGGUCCAGCUGCUAGAAUCAUAUGUUGAUUAACUUGACAAAGCCAUGCGUACACGUCUGCUUAGUAGGCCCACAAGUCAGCCACCAAAUCUGCCGGGUCCCAGCUGUCAUCGGGAGGAAUGGUUUUUUUCGCAUAACAAGGAGGCACUUCCUUCCGUGCAAAGAUACGGCCGGUGGGUCCCAGCUGUCAUGGGGAGGAAACAGCUUAAUAAGGAGGAACUUUCCUUAGGUGCGACCAUGGACCUCAUGGGUCCCAGCCGUCAGGCUCUCAAAGUACAGUCCUCUUCCGAUGACUCUCGUUUGUUGACCACGCUGCGCCGAGCGCAGCAAGGCGAUGGACGAUGGCGAGGCCCCAGACUGGAAUGACCCGGAGAUGGGGAAGACACGGCAGUGGAGUCGCAGACAGAGAGGAGUGGGAAACUUGACUGGUUCGGGUGCAGGGUGGGCCUACACUCGGCAGAGAAUAACAGGAGGUGCGGAUUGGAGGGAUGGCCUGGCCAUCGGCGGGGUAGUGUUUCGCUGAGGCGCGCAAAACAACGUCGCUGGACACCGGAGGCUGGAGCACGCGGUCCCGGCAGCGCUGGGGGAAAGAAGACGAGAGAUUGAAGAAGAAUGCCGGGCGUUGGAUGUAAAUCCAACGCCUUGUUAGGCUUCGACUUACUGGCCCACAUGUUAGCCAGUCCAUUUGUUUUUUUAGUCCAUUUGGUGGGCUGGGUGAAACAAUGAUGUAGCAUGUAUGCAGCCCGUUUAUAUAUAUGGCAGAAUUUAAAGCCCAUUUGCAUUUUUCUCAAAAUCCGCAGACUUGCUGGCUGGGUGAAAAUAUCAUGUUGGGCUGGACGGAGAAAUGUUAUAAAAACAUAAACACAUGAUUGCGCGUCUAUUACUGCAUUGGUCAGUAAAAUCUUUGCAAGCUUAUGUACGCAAUCACUAGGAGUUAACUUGCCAAGUUAUAUAAAACAAUUAUUAUUAUUAUUUUGUAAGAACUUUCAACUUACAAAAUAAAAUAUCAUUUUGAUUUGAUGAGUUAAUAGGACAUGGGGUAUUAUUAUUUUUUAGGCUAGACGUGGGACAGUUGAGUUGGUUCUGGGGAAAAGUACUGGGAGAAAACUCAGUUUACAUCAAAAAUUAAAGUGGGAGAAAAAUUCAGAUAUAGGAUUAAUGAAAACGAAAAAUAAAGGAAGUGGGAAGGUCUAUAAAAUGGUUGGACAAAUGACAGGUUUAACGGAACCUUAUGUUGUUUCUAUUAUAUGUAUAUAUAUGUAAUAAAAUAAGAUAUAAAUAUAGGUUCAGUUUUGCAUUCUUAUAGAAGACAUAGGUUCAGUUUUGCAUUCUUAUAGGAAAAUAGAACUGAGCUGUGCGUCGUCUUGAAAAAACAAACAUAACUUGGGCUGCUGAUGUUAUAGACAAGAUAGGUUGGGAGGCCCAGAGGCCGCUUGAUACCUGCUGGAUCCAAAAAAUGUUGAAACAUGUCGUGGGUUGCCCAUGUUAAACAACAAAACCUAGGCCAUGGACCUAGUGGGCCCGGGACUGUCAGCCUCUCGACGAACAGUUGUCUCCUGAUUCCUCUUGUUUUGCUGACCAUGUUGGGAACGACAGACGGCGACGCCGCGGCGAGAGCACCAAGACGGAGGAUGACGUCGAGACCUCGGACGGAACGAACCGGAGCGGGGGAAGACACAGGUGGAGGAGAGUACAAGGGUUGACUUGUUCGGGUGUAGGGUGGGCAGGUGGAGCUGCCGCCGCCAGACAAUGUGUGGGAGUAGAGGGAUGGCCACAUGGCCAGCCGCUGUAUAGGAAGAGGACGAAAGAUUGAACAAAAUAAAGAACUACAAAUGGAUAGGUGGUUGGUCCCGUAUGUCUGUGUACGAGACCUGCUAGGUCCACCUGAGAAGGGGAAUAUGUUGCCAGGAAGGAGAUUCAAAGCACGGCAGCCGAGUGAACUAGUUUUUUUUAAAACGGACAAGUGAACUAGUUACAUACAUAAGCUAAUAGCCACUAAAAAAGCAAACAAGUUAAUGCGUUCUUAAAAGAAAUAUUUCGGACAAAACAGAUAAUUACGACACAUAGGCUAAUGCAUGAAACACUCAGAUGAUAAAGGUGCUUAUAAACAGAUAAAGUACAACAUCUAGACCUUCCUGGCACGCUUGAUCAUGACACUGCGGCUGUCCGUGUACUCGUCAGUUACGGGAAGCAGACAUGGUUAGCUAACAAAAUGUUAAUGCAUGUCAACAAAAAUUAUAUUGUUGGAUUCGUAUUUCAACUAGUUAUCAAUGAUAUAAUUUUUGGUAACAUGCAUAAACGUUUUCUUAGUUCAGUCUAUAGUCAAAAUUUGACACAAUAUACAAUGGGGACCAAUAAACUAGGACGGAGGUAGUAGUAGUAGUAUUGUUCACUUGUGCUCCCCGGCCCUCCAUUCAUUGACCAACCCCACGGGUGAAUAAACAUAUAGUACUAAGUAUUUAUAUAGAACGAACAAGCUCGAACUAUUUUCGCGUAGUUAAAAGUUGAGGGCGGGGCUUUUACCGGGCAGUACGCGCGGCACUUUUCGCGUAGGCGGUUUGACAGAGAGGCGAGGAGGGUGAGGGAGUAGCGGAUUCAACUUACUUACUGCUGGAAAGGUCGGGCUGUCCGAUUUGACGGCGCGUUACUGCUGGAAAGACUUGUGAUAUGACUACUCACUAUAGUCAUGAAUUACUGGCGGUACGACCGGGGUGAUUCCCCCCUUCCGUUCCGCACUCUAAUCUGGUGCAUGACACGUCGACCGGGAUGCUGGCUCUCCCACAUGUCGGCGAAGUACGUAGGAGGAGUGCGAACCACAGCACAGGAGUGCAAACCACGGUAGCCCCAGUGAAUCAGCAGUAGAAAACAAUGUGCUGAUAUGGCCAUAAAAAACAAUGUGCUACGGUCCAGACUGUAGCAUGUACAGUACUACUCCUCUUUGUUUGGAUCCCUGAGUUAGAGCUAGUUUGGGUUGAAAUAGCCUCAAAUUAUCCAAACAGGAGGGUUAGUUUGAGCUAGUUUGCUCUAACCCAGCUAAAAAACUAGGGACUAGGGACUUUUUAGUUGGGGCUAGAAAAAGUCCUAGGACUUAUGAACCAAACAGGGCCUCAAGCACCUAUGGAGGCGACUGCCGCUCGCGUCUAUCAUGUGUCAGGAGACGUCCCCGUCGACGACGAGGUGCCUAUGGUGCCUAUUGUGCACCACGACCAAUGCGGAGAGGAAAACGAGAGAACUACGUAUUUUAUUUACGGUGUAGAUUCACUCAUUUUGCUCCAUAUGUACUCCGUCUCAGUGUAGUCUAGUCACUUGUUGAAAUAUCUAGAAAGGCAAAUACUCCUUUCUGGUUUACAGGGCUAUACUAGCAAGUAAUAGUGGGCUCACAUAGCAAUGUUGUCUCAUGCAAGAGCCUGGCUAUAUGCGUGCUCCAAGGUUCGAAACUGCCACGUUCAGGUUGCGCUUGGCUCUUCGCCUCUUCAAGAAGACGAACAAUGAUGUUACUACUAUUGCUUCUUCAGUAUCGAAUCCACUGCUUCAUGUUCGUCCACCGCGAGCGGGAGGGAUAGCUUGUUGUAGUACUACUAUAAGCAAAAGCCUAUCCUCGGCUGCGAGCCACCGCGCGCAUGGGCGAGGGAGAAGGCAUGUAGUAGUAAAAUCAAGCUUCUCCUCGUUGUAUGAGUUGACGCAACACAUCAUAGCACUGGCCCCACAUGGUUGCCUCUAAACUUGGCUGAAAGACCCGCAGUGUACAAUACUCCAUUUGCUGCAACCUCUAACAUUUACCCCACCACAAAUUAAAAUAUAUAUUCCUGUCUUGACCAGAUGAGCGUGCAAACUAGAAUCACCAGGACGACAGGUAGGGCCGGAAGAUUAUUUUAAUCGAAAAAAGCAUGGAGCCGACCCCAACGAUUUUAAGCUUACAGGCACGGUACACGCUAUCCUAGACUACUCUACACAUGAAACUGCCACACGAGUGUCCGGGCUGCGCUUGGCUCUUCACCUCUUCGGGGAGUCGAACAAUGAUGGAGUACUACUGCAGUGGAGGAGUACUACAGUAUGCUUCUGGCCAUCUGACACCGAUUCAACUACUGCAUGUCCACCGCGUGCGGGAGGGAGAGUGUGUAGCAAACGAAAGCUUCUCCUAGUCCUGCCAGCCACCACGCUCAUGGGCGAGGGAGGGACGCAGCUUCAUUGACUUACUGCUCCUGCCUUUGCGUCUAUGACAGGUGGGCCCAACAGGUCGGUGGCCCACCUGUCAUGCAGCCAAAGGCAGGUGGGGUUAAGGCGAGAGGGCCUUGUAGUAAUCAAACUUCUCGGUCUUGUACGAGUUGACGCGACACAUCAAAGCACUGCACUCGAUAUAUUUCAAUAAUUUGCGUUUAUCGAUGCAUUAGUUACAACGCAUGCAUGCAUGUCGUGACUCUCCUUUUGAUACUUGCAUGUGUUGAUUUAAUGCACCUUGAAGUAGUAUGAAUAUGUGACGGUAAAACUUUGUAAUGCCCCGGCCCUAAUAAAGCGAGAGAUGGUUGUGCACGAGGAGGGCGGAAUUCCGAGGAGGGCGAGAUCAUGCAGAUGGAACAGGACCCGACGAUGGAGCUCUCCAUGGUCUCGAUGGACCUCACCUUGCUUCACUGCCCCUUGAAGCCUCCAGUGUAUGAGGUUCGAAUACACCUCCUCCGUUCGACUGAUCGAGCAAGGUGCAGGUUUCUUGAUUGAUGUGUUGUUCGAUUGAUUUGUGCAGUGCAAGGGAGGGCACCUGGCCUGCGCGGACUGCCGCGUCGAGCGCCCCGGGAACCAGUGUCAGUGCCAGAAGUGCGAGCGCGGUGGUGGCUUCGACGUGCGGAACACGGCGGUGGACGCCGUCCUCUCCUCUGUGAGGGUGGAGUGUCCGCACAAAGGCUGUGGGCUCUAUGUCACUUACCACAAGCUCGCCGAUCACCAGAGCGUGUGUCCGCUCGCUCCCUACAAAUGCCCCGUGCCGUCUGCGGCUACGAAGGCCCGCCACCGGAUCAGCACCGUGCAUCCCAUGCCCGUGCACAGGAUCCAGUACAGCAAGGUGCUCCAGCUGCAAGUGCCACUGUCGGAGCCACGACUCUUGCUGAUCGCGGAGGAGGACCGCUGCGCGUUUUUCUUGGUCGGCAGCGUGCUCGACAUCGGCGUGCCUAUCGCCCUGUCGGUCGUCUACGUCAGAGCGGGGUCGUCCCCACUUCCGCACUAUGUAGCCAAGCUAUGGGCGAACGGCCCGCCGGGGGAGCCCAAAGGCAGGACCGACGCCGUCAAGGUGGAAAUGGAGGUGACAAGCAGCAAGGAUCCCGGCGACGUCGCGGUGCACGACCUGACCUUCUUCACAGUUCCGCCCAAGCUGUUGGCUGGGGCUAAGUUGGUGCAACUCCACAUUCAUAUUGACAAGCUCACAUCCUAAAUGAUUCUACAGUGCCUUUUGUUUAUCUUAGUAAUAUGCUAAUAGAGGGGUUAGCUCGGUCAACUUUAUCUUAAGAGAUGGUGGGCUUUGGUGGCGAUGCAGCAAUUACUUCGACAUCAGAUCAGCAGUUAAAGUAAUUUCAAAUAGUCGAACGGAUAUUUUGUGUCUGUUGGAUAUAAAGAUCCUUUGGGUAAGAAGUAUAACUGCUUAUAAGAAGUAAGUAUAACAGUUUAUAUGCUUGUUUGUUCAGAAAGUGUUGCAUACUUGUGCGAGUUGACGCAACACAUCAAAGUAGUACUACUAGUAGUACUCCCUCCGAUCCUAAUUUCUCUGCGCAUGAGGUUGGUCAUAGUGGGAGUAACAUAGGUAGUAACAUAGAUGCCACAUAAGCAAAAAUGAUGAGGUGGCAAGUAAUUAAUGAGGAGAGAGGCAAAUAGAGUAACAUAAAGGCUGGUCAUAGUGGGGAGUAACUUAGACUGGUAGUGUUAUGCAUAUGACACUAGUCUAAGUUAUUACCUUCAUAAUGCAAAGUAACAUAAUAGUAGUAUCAUAGAUGGCUUCAUUUAUCUUGUCUUGGAAAGCGCUAUGUUAUAGUACAACAUAUUAUGUUACUACCUCUUAUUAAUUACUUGCCACAUAAGUAGAAUUUUCUCGAAGUGCACUAUGUUACUACUCCCUCUGUCUAGGUGUAUAAGUCAUCUUAGGUUGUGCCCCACGACCAAGGCGGAGGGAAAACGAGAGAACUUAAUGUCUUUUUGCUAAUUAUAAUAGCAUUGCAUGGAACUAACCACUACAUGUCAUGUUUGUUAGUCUCAAAUCAUUAAAAGCAUGCACGGCCCACAUCUCUUAUUGGUUGAUACGUCAUGAAACAAGAAACGAGAAGGGAGUCAACUACCGUGCCUAGUUUUGGGUUUAUUUCGUUUUUGUAAGGUGACUUGCAUACCUAGACGGAGGGAGUAGUUAAGUUACUUCCACUAUGACUAGCCUAAUAUGUUACCAUCACAUAGCGCUUUCCAGUGCAAAAUGAGUCCACAAAGUAAUAAAUGAAGACAUGUAGUACUAUGUUAUCUAUAUGACACUACCCACUAUGAAGGUACUAGUAACAUAGACUAGUAACUAGUCUAUGUUACUCUCCACUAUGACCAGCCAAAGUCGAGGCACGGAGACCAACGAGGGCCUGGUUGUUUCUAUACUUGGACAACUCACCAGACUGCAUGCGCACCAGGCAGACGAAGCUCGUGUCGUGUUGGUGCCGUGUGCGGCCCGCACAUUAACCAAAACCUCGCGCCUCCAUCUUAGCCUCCGUGUUUUAAACUUCUCAAUCUCAAGGCCAUGGAGCAACGUGAAACCUAUGAUAGAGCCAAUCGGAUGGUUGAGAACACUACAAUUCGUAGCUACAGAUGCGUGUGUGCGAGAGGACGAGUGCGUGCAUGCACCUCUGCUCAAAGUACAAGUGUAUGUGGGUGGCAUCGACCUAGGGAGCAGUGAUGGUGCGUGCGAGAAGUCCUGAGAGAUAGGUGUAAUGCGUCUGAAAAAAGACUAGUCUAUAGCUCACCACGAGGCUAUUCCUGUCGAACGCCAAGCGUAAGAUAUGUAUCCGACGGUGCCAGUUUUUGCAAGUACACAGUAGUAGAAAAAGAACUAGUACCAUGGCAUAUGCUACACCACGGCCGAGAACACGUGCCAACGUUAUGUCAUCCGGGAAUAGUGCCGCACUUCGAAACUAGAACCGUCAAUAAAUUUUGAGCGCGUCUCGUCACAUUCCAAAUUACUACUACUACCAUGCUAUAUUUAAUUGCAAACCUUUUCACACCGAUCACAACCUAAACAGUUUCCCACUUAGGAGCGUAUUAGUAGUACUCGGUUAUAAAUACUACUAAGCCAAGAUGACUGCACAUUCCUCCUCAACUCCUCAUCCACAAAAAACAAUCAAGUCAAUCAAGCCAUGGCCAGCGUGAAUUCUAGGUCGAGAGAUUUCCACCAGGGAGAGGCGAGCAUGGAAGAGGAAGCACGAGAGAUAUCCCGCCUUGCCGCGAAAGCAACCGACAUGUCCAGCUGCGCAGCAGUAGCAGCACAGAGGUCCCGCCGCGCCAUCGAUGUAGCAGACUGGUCCGGCCAUGCCGCGGAAGCAGCAGAGAUGUCCCGCCAUGCCUCCGAAGCAGCACGGAGGUUUCGCCGCACCGCGGCGGCCUGGGAAAAUUUCCCGCGGGCAGGCGAGGACUCUUACAAUCGCAUGCAUGCGAUGGUCCAUAGCCAGAUGGAUCAGAUCUCCGGCUGGGCGAGGUUGCAGGACGAGGCUACCAGCAUCAUCCGGCAACUAGGGGAGGGCAAUGCGAAGCUCCGGGGCGAGCGCGACCUGCUGAGGGCAAAGAUCGCUGGAAGGUCCAAGCAGGAGGAGGAGACCACUGCCUUGUUGCAGAGGACAGGCGUCAUCGUCAAGAAACUUAUGGACGAGAGAAUGCCAUGCUCCACAUCAAGCACAACUGGCUGGUGGAGGAAUCCAUGGAUGCUGCCAAGCAGCUUAUUAAGGACAUGAAACUGAUGAAAGAGAUCAUCGCCCGCCACGAGAACUAGUGUCUGCGUCCUGCUGCACAUAAAGAAAGUAGAUAUCAGCGAGCCAGAGCGUUGUAUGCAUCUUCCUUCUUCUUUUGCCCUUGUGUAUUUCGGGCAUAGCCGCAUGUGGCUUUUUUAAUUAUCUUCCUGAUUAUGUAAGACAAUUAUUAUCCACUCUCGUCGUCCUUAUAUAUAUUCAUCAGUCUUGCUAUAAGUCGCAGUAGAUGCUACAUAGGUCCGUCGGAUCUUACAUCAAGAUCCGUGCAAAAUUUUCUUUUCAGAUUUUCUUUUUUCUCUCUUAAAUCUCAGUCGAGUGAGACAUUGCCACGCCAUUAAACAGAGGCUCGGGCGCAAUUAAUGGAGACCUUGGGAGAGAGGUGGACGGCAGAUGGAGGUCAAAGGGCUCUCCUCCCGAUAAGCACGCGCAGGGGUCUGAUCGCACGCCUCCCGUACUCAAAUAGCUACCCUGCACAGUGCCUCCUAGCUAAUAAAAAAAGGGGACGUGUGGCGGCACGUAAAUGGUAAAUAGAACGCCCACGGUUUCAAUAAUACUUGUGUUUCCGAUUGUAACGUGACAGCACUUGUUCCAAAAUGACUUUGUUGAUUGUUAAUGUGUGCGCCUUCCCAAAUCGGACAACAAAAUUACCACAGCAUGUUGGUGCCAUGUCAUGACACCAAGCCAAGUUUCAUGAUUUUCAUGCGUCUUUCGGAUUUACAGGAAUUAAAAAACCAAGUUUCUCAAUGUUUCCAGCCGAGCCAUGACGCCCAGAUGUUUGAAUUUCAUUCCCAUUUCUGGCAUGGGACCUAGAAAUUUACCCGAGGACACACAUGUGAUUUUUUAACCAGCUUUGGUGCACUGGAGCAUGUGCUUGUAUUUCAAAUUUGAAUUAUGCACACAAAGGUGACACGUCCCUUCUCAGAACCACGAGCCUUCUUGAGAGAAGCUCCGGUUUGCAAGAAACUUAUACCAAAACUUGUUCCUAUUCUGCCAAUUUUUUACCACAGCAUGGUAGUACCAUGACAUGACACCAUGCCAAGUUUCAUGAUUUUCAGGCGUGUUUUGGAUUUACAAGAAUUUUAAAACCAAGCUUCUCAAUGUUCUCGGCCGAGCCACGAUGCCCAGAUGUUUGAAUUUCAUUCCCAUUUCUUGCAUGGGACCUAGAAAUUCACCCAAGGACACACAUGUGAUUUUUCAAUCAACUUUGGUGCACGGGAGCAUGUGCUUGUAGUUCAAAUUUGAAUUAUGCACAUUAAAUCACCAGAAACUCAAUUAAUGUAUAAAAAGGCCAAACAAACCCGGAAUAAUUCCAAAAUUUAACAGGGCACUCAUGUAGUUCUAUGUUGCCUCUGUAAAUAAACUCAAGGGGGGCAGCGUAUAUUGUUUCACACUCAAAGGUGACACGUUCCCUCUCAGAACCACGAGCCUUCUUGGAGAAGCUCUGGUUUGCAAGAAGCUUAUACCAAAACUUGUUCCUAUUCGGCCAUUUUUACCAGGGCAUGGUAGUACCAUGACAUGACACCAUGCCAAGUUUCAUGAUUUUCAGGCGUGUUUUGGAUUUACAAGAAUUUUAAAACCAAGUUUCUCAAUGUUCUCAGCCGAGCCACGACGCCCAGAUGUUUGAAUUUCAUUCCCAUUUCUUGCAUGGGACUUAGAAAUUCACCCGAGGACACACAUGUGAUUUUUCAACCAACUUUGGUGCACUGGAGCAUGUGUUUGUAGUUCAAAUUUGAAUUAUGCAUAUUUUAAAUGACCAGAAACUCAAUUAAUGUAUAAAAAAGGCCAAACGAACCCGGAAUAAUUCCAAAAUUUAACAGGGCACUCAUGUAGUUCUAUGUUGCCUCUGUAAAGAAACUCAAGGGGGGCAGCGUAUAUCGUUUCACACUCAAAGGUGACACGUUCCCUCUCAGAACCACGAGCCUUCUUGAGAGAAGCUCCGGUUUGCAAGAAGCUUAUACCAAAUCUUGUUCCAAAUCGGCCCAAUUUUUUACCACAGCAUGUUAGUGCCAUGACAUGACACCAUGCCAAGUUUCAUGAUUUCCAAGCAAGUUUUGGAUUUACAUGAAUUUCAAAACCAAGUUUCUCGAUGUUCUUGGCCGAGUCACGAUGCCUAGAUGUUUGAAUUUCAUUCCCAUUUCUUGCAUGGGACCUAGAAAUUCACCCAAGGACACACAUGUGAUUAUCAACCAACUUUGGUGCGCCAGAACAUGUGCUUGCAGUUCAAAUUUGGAUUAUGCACAUUAAAUGUCCAGAAACUCAAUUAAUGUAUAAAAAGGCCAAACGAACCCAGAAUAAUUCCAAAAUUUAACAGGGCACUCAUAUAGUUCUAUGUUGCCUCUGUAAAGAAAAUCUGGGGGGAGGCAGCAUAUAUUGUUUCGCACACAAAGGUGACACGUUCCCUCUCAGAACCAUGAGGCUUGUUGAGAGAAUCUCCGGUUUUGCAAGAAGCUUAUACCAAAACUUGUCCCAAUUCAGCCAAGAAUUAUAUACAUAUGAAAACAGGGUUUAGAUUAUCCCGAACAUCUCGCCACCUAGACCAAUGUACUCUGAUUUGAAUUCAAUAUAAAAUGGAUACAAAUAUUUGAAUCGGAGAUCGUAUGUUACAUGUAGUGUAUAGUGAAAUAUGAUUACUGCUAUAUGCAUGUUUUUUUGUUAUCAAGAUAAUAUUUAAAUGAUUGUAUAACUUGACAACAAUCGUAUUCAAAUAAGGAAAAAUGAUUCAAAUUUAGUCAAUAUGGUAGAUGAUGGUAUAUAUGUUCAUAGGGUGGAGUAAAAUGUUCAUAUAUGAUGGAAGAUCAAAAUGUAGGACUACAUUCAUUAUAAACCGCAAGGUCACCUAACGAUAUAUUCGAAUUCAACAUAACGUGGAUUCAAAAAUUGAAAUACGAGAUCCUGGCAUUUGUAAUCAUAUAAAAAGGGACAUGACUCUUUCUUUUGGUGGGAAUUGAUUUGUUUUUUGUUGUUGUUGAGGGAAGUGCGAAUCGAUUUGGUACUGUACAGGGUAGUCUUGUUCUCCCGAUUUUUUUACAUUUUUCUUGUAGUUUUUUCAAUGACAUUUAUAGCAAUAUAGUAAAAGGGACAUGACUCUCGUGUGUCUUGUAUGAAUUGUUUUUUGUACACGUUAAGUUUGUUCUGCCGAACAAGGAAUCCGCGCCUUGUUAUCCCGAAAUUUCAAGCUCGAGUAUCUUUUGUCUCAUCUGCUUUGAAACUCCCGCCUCUUCAACCCGCGCCGCACCUUGUUAUCCCGAAAUAUCGACGCGCGCGAAAACUCCCUCCUCAUUCGAAAUCGGUCACGCAGCCCAGACACGUGAAAUCCCCCUUCUACCCCUCAGCCGGAAAUGUCAGCUCGACAUCGCGGUGUCAAAACCGGUGGGGGUACGCUCGUAACUUACCCUACAUUUCGGACAAGCGCGUCCCUAAGCCAUGGCUCCCCUACCUUCCCCUUCGUCCCACCCAUUCGUACACCGAGGCCGCCAAAACCCACGAAACCCCACGCUCCUCGGUCGGCCUGCCGACCCCCGCCCAGGCAGAGACUCUUCCCCGACGACGUCGUCCACCGCAACAGCUCGCCGUCCCUCAUCCACCGUAUCGGAUGAGGAUCCGUCGUUAAUCUCGUCGUCCCGCCGGAUCAGCCGCCCCGUCCUCCACCUCCAAGGAGUUGCCCCGAUGUUUGCCUCGUCUAUCGCGCCACCUCCAUCCCCACAGCACCGUCUUGACCUGCCCCACCGGAACCGCAGCACCCUCACCAAUUCCUCCGAUGAAGUCGAGGCCAACUCGGCGCCACCAAGGAGGUUCUGCACUCACCGCUGCAUUUUAUCUUUUAUUCAAUCUCACAGGGCUGCCGGUGCUCCAUACCGAGCAGCCAUGGCGGGUCUCCAUCGACGGUGCCGUAGCCGGCCACUUCAUCCACGGCGUCUCUCCCCCAUGUCGUUGCUUCCUCGGCGGCCACUUCGUGUUGUUGCUCUGCUCUGCUAUUGCUGUCGGUCGCGCUGCUGCUCCGCUCUUGCUCUCGUUCGUGGUGCUGCUCUGCUCUUGCUCUCGCUCACGCUGCUGCUGCUGCUGCACGACCUUUGGUAGCUACAGGAGUUGCUGCUUUAGCACUCGGUCGCGGUUCUGCUACACGACUUGUUGUCUGCUAGUGCGUUCCCUGCUCAAGCGUCUGCUGAUUUAGAUCACUGCUUCUCUGCUACUAGUGCUCGAACGCCCUAAACAUCUAUUGCAAUGCUCUUCUACUAGUUCAAUCAGUUUCGACUGUAAAGUUCAGUUAAGUUCAGAGUAAACAGUAUUUACAGCAUCUGUCGGAGCGGCCGUGGCGCGGCUAAUGCGUUUUACAUCUAGCACUUUUUGGUGAUGUAUUUUACAUCAUCUAUUGCAGAUGAUAUUAGAGUCCCACUUCAGAUUAACGUUGUCUGUCUUGUCCUGCUUCAGCCUCGACGCCGUACACCUCACUGGAGCUGCUCCAACAACGGAACCGUCCAUCACAGUGGAGCAGUACCCUCGGCGCCGUUUCCAGAGGCCUCGGAUCUUCUUCCUCGCCUCUGACAGUCACACCAGCAUCACCACCCUCCAUGUCCAACCCAAUGAUGUUGAGGUCGACAAGGCUAUGCCAAAGAGGUUGUACACUUGUUGCAUCACUUUGUUACUGUGCAUUCAUGUCAAUCCCUCAGGGAUCCUUUGCUAUGGAACUACUAUGGUACUACUAUUCGUGCAUUUGGUUAGGAGUGGAGCAAAGCAAAACUGGAAGAUUUUUUUCCUUUGGUGUCUCUUUCAAAGAAAAAUGGUAGGAAUUUUAAUAUCCAGGUGGACGUCCUUUUCAAAUUAAUAUGCAUGAAGAACAGGACUAAUUGCAUUACUGGCAUAAUAAGAUUCUUAUUUUUUUCAUUUUCACGUGGUUUGACUUUAAUUUGACCACGUUUCUCCAUUCCUGUGUUCUUCCAAUUCAUGUGAACCAAACACCGAGGUUCACAGAAAUCCUAUGUUUCCAAAUGCUCUGUUUUGCACGUGCAUUCCUAUCCUAUUCUUGUGUUUUCCUGUCCCUGUGUUUAUAGAUUCCUCCAAUUCUAAGGAGCCCUUAUAGAUUUACUUCAUUUUCAGAUAGGUGUCAAAGAAAACUCUGUGUGUUAUGUCCUGCUCCUACCGUGCCGUCAUCCACCCCACCUGAGGUGCACCCUCGACAGAAGCGUUCACUGCAACAGAGAUUCCCCCUGCAAACUUUCUUUCGCCGCCUCAGAUCAUCUUCCCCGUUGUCGGCAGCCACGCCAACUGCAUUACCAUCAUCGACUAAGCAGAUGAACCUGAGAACUACACAGUUCCGUAAGAGAGGUCACAGUCUUUCGUGUUUGCUUACGUUAUACAUCGGUUAUUAUUACCUGCUACUUUAUCGUUCAAAUUUGAGUUUUAAAAUGCCCGUGGGUCUCAUAUCGAGGCAGCAACGAAUAGUAUCUGUCUACUAUCUUGUUCAUCGGGGGUCUUCUAUGUGCUUCAUGUUGGGUGGGCAACAAACAGUAGGUGAUCCAUUGUCUAUCUUUUUAAACUGAGGCUAUAAUCUACCUGCUAUCAUUAGUUUUGGAUCGAUCCACUCGUUUUCUACCAUCAAUCUUGAUUUCUGCAUGCACCCCUUAGGCCUUACAAAAUCUAACUAAUUUUUUAUUAUGCAUGUCAGUUAUUGUACACAAUCAUACUGAACAUGUAGAGAAAAAGAGAAGACCAUUGCAUGGGAAUGCAAUGUCAUGCAGAUGCCGCUCCAUGGUGGGCGAAGUGCCCCCCCUCCCGCCAUUCCAGAUUGUAUUCCAGAGGAAGAUAACUGUUCAGAUGGGGAUUCAGAGGGAGCCGACCACUCCUAUUUACCACCUGAGGUGUUUGCUCUACCUGGCAUGCUGAUGUUGGUCAUAUCAUGCAUAUGGCGCCUUGCAUUGCUUACAUUAUUCAUCUUAUAUGUCAUCAGCUUAGUUUAGAUUUGCUUUGUGUGAAUGCCACCUAUUUGGUUUCUAUAUCAUACUUCCACCAUUCCUAAAUAUUUUUCUUUUUAGAGAUUUCAACAAGUGACUACAUACGGAGCAAAAUGAGUGAAUCUACACUCUAAAAUAUGUCUAUAUACGUCUGUAUGUAGUAGUCCAUAUGAAAUCUCUAAAAAUACAAAUAUUUAGGAACGGAGGGAGUUUAUGGGAAUUAUGCAAUGCCAUGUUUUUCAGCCAGUUAUCAUAUAUGUGAAUUAUGCACCGCCAUGUAGCCAGGCAUCAUAUAUGUGAAUUAUCUCAUGCCAUCUUUUUUUCAUUACGUAUUCCAUUUGUCGACAAUCUGUGUAUAUUAAACUACUCUUCAUGUGUAUCAGCCAUUUGAGCCGGUUAUGGAAAAAUCAGGAGUGAAAACAAGGUCUUCAGAGCAGGCAAUGGUACCUGUUGAAGCAUAUAUCUCGAUGGUUACAGGGAGCUCAUCAGAGGAGGAUUCAGAGACAGAUGACCAGUCCUAUAUCCCACCCGAGGUGUAUGCUCUAAGUUGCAAUGUUUAUAUUUCUCAUAUCAUGCAUAUGGUGUCUUGCAUUGCUUAGUUUAGACAUCAUAUGCACAAUAUUAAAUUCCAUCUACUUAGUUUAGAGAUCAUACAUGCGAGUGCCAGCUGCUUAGUAUAUGAAUCAAUUAUGUCAAUUAUAUCAUGCCAUCCUGUAUACUUAGACAACAUUUAUGUGAAUUAUUUCAUCCCAACCUAUUUUAGAAAGACAUCAUAUAGUUUUGUCAUGUCAUCCUAUUUAGAUACUCAUCAUAUGUUGAAUUAUGCCAUUAUCCUGUUAAGUUAUCCAUCAUAUAUCUGAAACUGUGUCAUGCUAUCCUGUUUAGUUAGGCAUCAUAUAUGUGAAAUUGUGUCAUGUUGUCCUGUUUGCUUAGACAACAUACAUGUGAAUUACCACAUCUGUCUAUCAUACAAUGUUUGUACGUUCAAUUUCUUUUCUUGUUUACCAGCCAUUUGAAUUGGAGGGGUGAUGGCAGUAUCUAAGGGAGCAAAAACCCGUUCUUCACAAAAGACAGUGCUACCCGUUGAUGCAGAUAGAACCAUGGUUGUACUGGCCCACAAACUUGCCCCACCACACAUAAUCGAGACUCUUCUAGAUUGCACACUUAGACCGUUGGGCAGAGAACCAGCUACAACCCAUCUAACCCCAACCCCAGUGGAUAGUAACCCACUUCUAGUUGACAAAGCACCAUGUCCACCACAGAGUACCCCCACACGAGCAGUUUGUAAAGCAACUGCAGUGCCCAAAGCACGAAGACCACCACGGCGAACCCAAACUCCACAUUUAAAGCAGAAGAGCAACUGUUCUCAGGUCAGAUUCCGUAGCUAUGGUCCAUACUCCUUUGCUGUUGCAUCACUGUAUUUACUCAUACCAACUACUUUCGAAUUUGAAGGAUCCAAUUGAAACUCCAAUGGCGCAACAGGUAUGUUUUAAACCUAUUUCUUUAACUGGAUUGCUGUUCUAACUUGUUGCUCUAUGUUGAUUUCAGUUUAAGUUGUAUAAACAGUUAUGUUCUCAUGUGAUGCACAUUACAAGUGCUGCCAAUGCUGCGUAGUUUCUCACACUUAUAUUCUGUCUAUGCUGCUGUGUCUUCAAAAUAUAUGAGUUGAACUGUGUCUCUAUCUUGAUUCGGCAACAUAAACUAGAAUGAUAUGGACAAUACAGUGACCAUAGUACAUAGAUAUAUGUUUGUUUCAUGCUGUUAUCCUGUCCACCUUACUACUGAACCGGUUUACCAAAAUGAGUUUGGUAUACUACAUGCUAAACCUGUGAUGUGUCUGCUUGUUUCUCUUGUAGUAUGCGAACAGAAUAUUGGAGAAGAGCACCGCACUAUGCAAUGGUAGAGAAAGUAAUGCAGAUAAGGUUCAAGAUAGUGAGACAACCCUGUUGGUCUCCAAGAAAGGUGAUAAAAACGAUCUUGUAGACAGUGAGAAAACCCCACAGUCCUGCGUUGAUGUAGUGUUCGAGUUACUGGCCAGUACCGCUGGCACAAGCUCUUCGACCUUGCUGCCUGAAUCACUUUGACUUCUUCAGUCUCAGCUACAAGCUAAAAGGCAUCAGUCAGCUAUGCUGCGGCAAGAAGCCGAAGGACUAAGGAAGUCCCUGCAGAAUUCAGAUGCAUACUUUCUUGUGCAACAGCAAGCGCUGGAGGAUUUAAGCGCCAAACAAGAGAAAAUUAAUAAGCUUGCUAAGCAUCUUGCCAGCAUUAUGGGUACCCAGGAUAUUGUUUCUUGAGCUCUUCUGAAGUGGUUUCAAUUCUGGACUUGUUUUGCUGCGGCGUUUAUUUGCACUGGUCGCCAACUUUGACGACCAGUGUAUGUGAUAUGCUGCUUUGUUCCCUAUAUUUGCACUGGUAGCGAACUUUGAUGCCCAGUGGAUGUAAUAUGUGUAAUAGUCGUGAUAGCCUAGCGUAAGUUGCUUGCUUAUUUAGUUCCUUGUUGUCUUGUUUAUUUGUUUGCUUGUAGUCAGUGCAGUUCUUUUUUCGCGGUUUGCUAGUGGCCGCAAUAACCUAUUUUUUAAAACUAGGCCACAAUAACCAUGGGCUACAUAUUUACUGUAGUUACCAUGGGCCUCCUACGAGCCGUAAAAACAAUGGGCCUUCUACGGGCCAUAGAAAUGAUGGGCCUUCUACGGGCCGUAGCAUCAAUGGGCCUUCUACAUGCCGUAUGAUCGGUAGGCCAAACAUGGGCCAAUAACAUACCGCAUUAUGGGUCAUAAAUGGGCUAGAUUUGGAAUCGUCCGUUCAUGGGCCGACAAUAACAGGCCGUCGUUAAUCGGCCGUAUUGGACGACGCUAUGAAAACGGCCCAAGGGAUUAACGGGCUGCAAACGGGCCGAUUGUAAUCGCGGGCUGAAUUUGGCCCACAAGCAAAAAAGGCCAAUAACGGGUCGUAAGUAACCGAAUGCUGGAAAUGAGCCCAAGAAUAAAUGGGCCCUGAGAAGGCCGAAAGAUAACACGGGUUGGAAACGGCCCAAAUGAAUAACAUGCCAUUAAUGGGUAUAAAGGGGUACACUGUUCAUUGCGGGCCGGAUUCACCAUGGGCCGUUAAUGGGCCAAGAGUUACAAAUGGCCUCGUAUGGGCCGAAAGACAUCAUGGGCCAUACAUGGGCCAGAAGUUACAACGGGCUGGAAUCAUAUUGGACGGCCCAGAUGAAGCUACUGGGCUUAAUUCCGAUAGGCCAUAACGGGCCGUGAGUUAGCGGGCCGUAAAUGGGCUAUAUAGGAACAGGCUUUCCGUGGGCCGGCCGUUACCUUUUGACCAAGUCAAACGGGCCAGCCUUUUCACCGGAAUGGGCCUCUGUUGGGCCGUGCCACGUGUCGACGUAUCAUAGGGCCUCAUGUCCAAUGAAUGGAUGACAUCUGUCCCAACGGUGAGCCAAAACGUGUUUCCUCCGGCCAAUGAGAAUUUUACACGUGGAAAAUUCCCAUUGGUCUGGGCUGUUAAUGGGUUAUCGGAUCCAAAACCGGACUCGAUAGCUUAACAGCAUCCUGUUACGGUGGAUGCCACGUGUCGGUCACCCUUGACGAAAGAAAUUCUAUGACGUGCGAUUUAUCGUCAUCGAAGUGGACACUUCCGUGAUGAUAAUUUUCGUAAUGUCAUGGAACACUUCUACGACAACACAGGUAUGACUAUCUUGAUUCUGUCAUAAAUUUGUCAUGGAUGUACAUGCAUGACAGAAAACGUGACCUACUGUGACAAACACGUAUCAUCACGGAAGUGUCUUUUUUUGUAGUGUUCUCAUAGUAUUUAAUGCACUCUAUAUGAAAGUUUUUAUUAUACCCAUCUUGGGUGCCUACCAUAUUAGGACUAAUUUUAUAGCCAAAGAAAAUUACCAUGCAGUUCUAAAAGACUCUCAAAAUAAUAUAAGUGAAGCAUGAGAGAUCAAUAAUUUCUAUAAAAUAAAACCACCACCGUGCUCUAAAAAGAUAUAAGUGAAGCACUAGAGCAAAAUUUAUCUAGCUCAUGUGUGUCUCUCCCAAAAGGUGUGUACUAAAAAGCAAAGACUCAAAUCAUACAAGACGCUCCAAGCAAAACACAUAUCAUGUGGUGAAUAAAAAUAUAGCCUCAAGUGAAGUUACCGAUAGACGAAGACGAAAGAGGGGAUGCCUUCCGGGGCAUCCCCAAGCUUAGGAUUUUGGUUGUCCUUUAAUUUUACCUUGGGUUGCCUUGGGCAUCCACAAGCUUAGGCUCUUGCCACUCCUUGUUCCUAAAUCCAUCAAAUCUUUACCCAAAAACUUGAAAACUUCACAACACAAAACUCAAAGCGAAAGUCUCAUGAGCUCCGUUAGUAUAAGAAAACAAAUCACCACCUUAAGGUACUGUAAUGAACUCAUUCUUUAUUUAUAUUGGUGUUUUACCUACUGUAUUCCAACACCUCUAUGGUUCAUACCCCCCGAUACUAGCCAUAGAUUCAUCAAAAUAAGCAAACAACACACGAAAAACAGAAUCUAUCAAAAACAGAACAGUCUGUAGCAAUCUGUAUCAAACGUAUACUUCUGUAACUCCAAAAAUUCUGAAAUAAAUUGUAGGAUGUGAGAAAUAUGUCUAUUAAUCAUCUGCAAAAAUAAUCAACCUAAAAGCACUCUCCAGUAACAAAUGGCAUCUAAUCUUGUGAGCGCAAAAGUUUCUGUUUUUUACAGCAAGAUCACAAAGACUUCACCCAAGUCUUCCCAAUGGUUCUACUUGGCACAAACACUAAUUAAAACAUAAAACCACAUCUAAACAGAAGCUAGAUGAAUUAUUUAUUACUAAACAGGAACAAAAACCAAGGAACAAAAAUAAAAUUGGGUUGCCUCCCAACAAGCGCUAUCGUUUAACACCCCUAGCUAGGCAUAAAACAAGAAUAGAUCUAGGUAUUGUCAUCUUUGGUAUGCAAUCCAUAAGUGGCUCUCAUAAUAGAUUCAUAAGGCAAUUUAACUUUUUUCCUAGGAAAGUGUUCCAUGCCUUUCCUUAAUGGAAAUUGGAAUCUAAUAUUUCCUUCUUUCAUAUUAAUAAUUGCACCAAUCGUUCUAAGGAAAGGUCUACCAAGAAUAAUAGGACAUGUAGGAUUGCAAUCUAUAUCAAGAACAAUGAAAUCUAUGGGCACAUAAUUCCUAUUUGCAACAAUAAGAACAUCAUUAAUCCUUCCCAUAGGUUUCUUAAUGGUGGAAUCCGCAAGAUGCAAAUUUAAAGAACAAUCAUCAAAUUCACGGAAACCUAGCACAUCACACAAAGUUUUUGGAAUCGUGGAAACACUAGCACCCAAAUCACAUAAAGCAUAGCAUUCAUGAUCAUUAAUCUUAAUUUUAAUAGUAGGUUCCCACUCAUCAUAAAGUUUUCUAGAGAUAGAAACUUCUAAUUCAAGCUUUUCAUCAUAGGAUUGCAUUAAAGCAUCAACGAUAUGUUUGGUGAAAGCUUUAUUUUGAUUAUAGGCAUGAGGAGAAUUUAACACGGAUUGCAACAAGGAAAUAAAAUCUAUCAAAUACAAAUUAUCAUAAUUAAAUUCCUUGAAAUCUAAAAUAGUGGGUUCAUUGCUAUGUAAAGUUUUGACCUCUUCAAUCCCACUUUUACCAAUUUUUGCAUCAAGAUCUAAAAACUCCGAAUCAUUGGGAUGCCUUUUAACUAAAGUUGACUCAUCUCCAGUCCCAUCUUUAUCAAGAUUCAUAUUGGAAAACAAAGAUUUAAUAGGAGACACAUCAAUCACUUUUAGAUCUUCAUCAUUAUUAUCAUGAAAACUAGAAGAACACGCUUUCACAAAGCAAUCUUUUUUAGCACGCAUCCUAGCGGUUCUUUCUUUGCACUCAUCAAUGGAAAUUCUCAUGGAUUUUAUAGACUCAUUGAUAUCAUGCUUAGAUGGGAUAGAUCUAAGUUUCAAAGAAUCAACAUCAAGAGAAAUUCUAUCCACAUUCCUAGCCAACUCAUCAAUCUUAGGCAAUUUUUCUUCAAGCAAAGCAUUGAAAUUCUUUUGCGAAUUCAUAAAUUCUUUAACACUAGUCUCAAAAUUAGAGAGCAUCUUAUUAAAAUUCCAUAAGAGUUGUUGUAGGAAUUACCAUAAUUAUUAGAGGAAUUACUAGGGAACGGCCUAGAAUUAAAAUUUCCUCUAUAAGCGUUGUUACCAAAAUUGAUCCUACCAACAAAAUUCACAUCCAUAGAUUCAUUAUGAUUCUCAAUCAAAGUGGACAAAGGCAUAUCAUUAGGAUCAGAAGAAACACUCUUAUUAGCAAACAAUUUAAUAAGUUCAUCCAUCUUUCCACUCAAAACAUUAAUCUCUUCAAUAGCAUGAACUUUUUUACUAGUGGAUCUUUCGGUGUGCCAUUGAGAAUAAUUAACCAUAAUAUUAUCUAGGAGUGUAGUAGCUUCUCCUAAAGUGAUUUCCUUAAAAGUGCUUCCCGCGGCUGAAUCUAACAAAUUUCUAGAAGCAAAAUUCAAUCCAACAUAAAAAUUUUGUAUAAUCAUCCAUAAAUUCAAACCAUGUGUAGGGCAAUUACGUAUCAUUAAUUUCAUCCUCUCCCAAGCUUGUGCAACAUGAUCAUGUUCAAGUUGCUUAAAAUCCAUAAUAUCGUUUCUAAGAGAGACGAUCUUAGCGGGAGGAAAAUACUUAGAGAUAAAAGCAUCUUUGCACUUAUUCCAUGAAUCAAUACUAUUUUUAGGCAAAGAAGAGAACCAAGUUUUAGCACGAUCUCUAAGCGAAAACGGAAAUAGCUUCAAUUUAACAAUAUCAUUAUCCACAUCUUUCUUCUUUUGUAUAUCACACAAAUCAACGAAGUUGUUUAGAUGGGUAGCGGCAUCUUCAUUAGGAAGGCCAGAAAUUGAUCUUUCAUAACAAGAUUCAACAAAGCGGUAUUGAUUUCACAAGAUUCAGCAUCGGUAGUAGGAGCAAUCGGAGUGCUAAUAAAAUCAUUAUUGUUGGUAUUGGAAAAGUCACAUAAUUUAGUAUUAUCUUGAGCCAUCAUGACAAACAAUCAAUCCAACAUACAAGCGAACAAGGAGCAAGCGAAAAGAGGCGAAAGAAAAAAGGGCGAAUAAAACGGCAAAGGUGAAGUGGGGGGAGGAAAACGAGAGGCAAAUGGCAAAUAAUCUAAUGCGAGGGAUAAGAGUUUGUGAUGGGUACUUGGUAUGCCUUGACUUGGCGUAGAUCUCCCCGGCAAUGGCGCCAGAAAUCCUUCUUGCUACCUCUUGAGCAUGCGUUGGUUUUCCCUUGAAGAGGAAAGGGUGAUGCAACAAAGUAGCGUAAGUAUUUCCCUCAGUUUUUGAGAACCAAGGUAUCAAUCCAGUAGGAUACUACACGCAAAUCUCCUAGUACAUGCACAAACAAUCAAGAACCUUGCAACCAACACGAUAAAGGGGUUGUCAAUCCCUUCACGGCCACUUGCAAAAGUGAGAUAUGAUAAAGAUAAUAAGAUAAAUAUUUUUGGUACUUUUGUUGUAUAGAUUGGAAAAUAAAGAUUACAAAAUAAAUAGUAAACUAGAAUUGUAGAUUGGAAACUUGUAUGAUGUAAAGUAGACCCGGGGGCCAUAGGUUUGACUAGUGGAUUCUCUCAUGAUGGCAUGUAUUACAGUGGGUGAACAAAUUACUGCCAAGCAAUUGAUAGAAAAGUGCAUAGUUAUGAUGAUAUCUAAGGCAAUGAUCAUGAAUAUAGGCAUCAUGUCCGUGUCAAGUAGACCGAAACGAUUCUGCAUCUACUGCUAUUACUCCACACAUCGACCUCUAUCCAGCAUGCAUCUAGAGUAUUAAGUUCAUAAGAACGGAGUAACGCAUUAGGCAAGAUGACAUGAUGUAGAGGGAUAAACUCAAGCAAUAUGAUAUAAACCCCAUCUUUUUAUCCUCGAUGGCAACAAUACAAUACGUGUCAUUUCCGUUUCUGUCACUGAGAUCGAGCACCGCAAGAUUGAACCCAAAGCUAAGCACUUCUCCCAUUGCAAGAAAGAUCAAUCUAGUAGGCCAAACUAAACCGAUAAUUUGAAGAGGCUUGCAAAGAUAUCAAAUCAUGCAUAUAAGAAUUCAGAGAAGAACCAAAUAAUAUUCAUAGAUAAUCAAGGUCAUAAACCCACAAUUCAUCGGAUCUCGACAAACACACCGCAAAAGAGUAUUACAUCGGAUAGAUCUCCAAGAACAUCGAGAACUUUGUAUUGAGAACCAAAGAGAGAGAAUAAGCCAUCUAGCUAAUAUCUAUGGACCCAAAGGUCUGUGGUAAACUACUCACACAUCAUCAGAGAGGCUAUGGUGUUGAUGUAGAAGCCCUCCGUGAUCGAAUCCCCCUCCGGCAGAUCGCCGGGAAAGGCCCCAAGAUCGGAUCUCACGGGUACAGAAGGUUGCGGCGGUGGAAAAGUGGUUUCGUGGCUCCCCUGGAUGUUUUCAGGGUAUAAGAGUAUAUAUAGGCAAAAGAAGUAGGUCAGUGGAGCUACGAGGGGCCCACGAGGGUGGGGGCGUGCCUACCCCCCUGGGCGCGCCCUCCUGCCUCGUGGCCGCCUCGUUGCGUCUCUGACUUCCACUCCAAGUCUCCUGGAUUGAGUUUGUUCCAAGAAAGAUCCUCGCGAAGGUUUCGUUCCGUUUGGAUUCCGUUUGAUAUUCCUUUUCUGCGAAACACUGAAAUAGGGAAAAAACAACAAUUUGCACUGGGCCUUCGGUUAAUAGGUUAGUCCCAAAAAUAAUAUAAAAGAGCAUAUUAAAGCCCAUUAAACAUCCAAAACAGAUAAUAUAAUAGCAUGGAACAAUCAAAAAUUAUAGAUACGUUGUAGACGUAUCACGUAACGAGCUGGGGAAGUAGAGCUAGGGCGGUUUCGAAGGAAGAUAUACCUAAAGGUCGUCGGGAUGUGGAUAGGUGGGCGGCGGGAGGCCGGAUCCGCCCACACUAGGGCAACGACGAAGGGUUCGGAGGACCUCCCGCACCGGCGCUCGGCCAGAGAUAACGGUGCGGACGGCAGUGGGUCUCCUCCCUCACAGUCGACGACGGCCUAAAUGAUGCCCCUCCUCCCCUUCACCGGCAGAGGGGGAUACGUCCGGAUCUGUAACCAACGGUGAGGAUAGAAAGACAGUGUUUUUUGAAGGGAGAAAGACAGUGUUACCACCUCUAUCUUGUUUAGAUCUGGAGAGGAUGAGAGUGUGUGAAUAGAGCAACCCUAGCAAGCAAGCGCGGAGGCUCCGGCCUAUAUAUACGUAGUGGGGUAGUUUUCCUUUUUCACUCCAUCAAAACGAUCGUUUAAAAUUGUGUACAUGUCAGGUCGCCAUUUUUUUGAGUUGUUGAUUGUUUUUUGAGAUAGCUACCCACUUAUUCCAAGUGGUGUUAUGGUGUGCUAGGUCGCACUUUGUAUCGUUCAAGUCUGGUACAAGACCCUCCAUUAAAUGAACAACCACCCCCUCGUAAAAUUUGUGAACAAGCCCACGGCUAAAAUUAUCAAAAACGUGGGCUGCCCCAACAUGCAUUAUUAUUUAUAUUUUCUAUGUGGGAGUAUCCUCAAAACAAAAUGUGAGAGUACAAUAUUUAUUGGGCCCCUUUGUAGUUGGUGCUAAAUUUUGACCAAAGAUUUAACUGACAAAAUGUUAGUGCAUGUUAACAAAAAUUAUAUCGUUUGAUUAGUAUUUGAACAUAGUUUUCAAUUAUGUAAUUUUCUGUGACAUGCAUGAACAUUUGGUUAAUUAAAUUUAUAGUCGAAAUUUGGCAAGGUGCAUUAAAUCAACACAUGCAAGUAUCAAAAGGAGAGUCACGGCAUGCAUGCAUGCGUUGUAAUUAAUGCAUCGGUAAACACAAAUUAUUGAAAUAUAUCGAGUGCGGUGCUUUGAUGUGUCGCGUCAACUCGUACAAGACCGAGAAGUUCGAUUACUACAACGCCCUCUCGCCUUAACCGCACCUGCCUUUGGCUGCAUGACAGGUGGGCCACCCACCUGUUGGGCCCACCUGUCAUACACGCAAAGGCAGGAGCAGUAAGUCAAUGAAGCUGCAUCCCUCCCUCGCCCAUGAGCGUGGUGGCUGGCAGGACUAGGAGAAGCUUUCGUUCGCUACACGCUCUCCCUCCCGCACGCGGUGGACAUGCAGCAGUUCAAUCGGUGUCAGAUGGCUAGAAGCAUACUGUGGUACUCCUCCACUGCAGUAGUACUCCAUCAUUGUUCGACUUCCCGAAGAGGCGAAGAGCCAAGCGCGGCCCGGAUGCUCGUGUGGCAGUUUCAUGUGUAGAGUAGUCUAGGAUAGCGUGUACCGUGCCUGUAAGCUUAAAAUCGUUGGGGUCGGCUCCAUGCUUUUUUUUAUUAAAAUAAUCUUCUGGCCCUACCUGUCAUCCUGGUGAUUGUAGUUUGCACGCUCAUCUGGUCAGGACAGGAAUAUAUAUUUUUAAUUUGUGGUGGGGUAAAUGUUAGAGGUUGCAGCAAAUAUAGAGUAUACAAAAAGUUAUCCCUCCCGCACGCGGUGGACGGACAUGCAGCAGUGGAUUCGAUACUGUAGAAGUAGUACUAACAUCAUUGUUCGACUUCUCGAAGAGGUGAAGAGCCAAGCGCAACCCGAACGUGGCAGUUGCGAACGCUCACCACUGUGUGUUUGGUUGCAUUCUCAUCUCAGCAUAGUUGUUCCCUCUUCGUGCAUGCUCAUCCCAGCACCCCUCUUCGUGCAUGCUCUUCUCAUGCAUGCUCCUAGUGUAUUUGUGUUAAGCUAGUGUGGACUCAUGCACCCUUCAUACACCCUACCAAACAUCAAAGCAUAUCACAAAGCAUCCAGGCCCGCGUUCCAUCCACCAAAUCACAGCGAGGUGCUACAGUCGAGACUCACCGGUCACCCCGGUGUGGCCGUCAUGACCCGUCAUAUCACAAAACCCACACCUUUACCAGCAGUGGUAAAGUGGCCACGAAGUUGGACUGGAUGAAGCAACCAUCAUUUCACUGGAACGCUCGUUGAAGCCCUUUCUCCCCUUUCUUGAAGAAAACCUCACUCCAGGCUACUCACUUCUGCCUUUUUCUUCUGUAUCGAGGAAGGAAAGGUGGGCGAAUCAGUGAUGCUACUAUAUUUUCAUUCCAAGAAUCUUCUUUUUGCGAAGCACUAACCAAUUCUCACAGCCUAUUCUUUUCCUGUUUUCAUUGCGAUUGUGGUUUCCUUUCGAUUGCUUUUGUUUGUCAGUUCAUUGAUGGAUCCUGGAGCACUAGGGCAGCUCUCUAGGAAGCGAGCACCGACCAACGAGUUGACCAUGUUGGCGGGCCAACCCAUGGAGAUGAAGAACUCCAAGAAACAAACACUGGCCAAAGAGUUGACGACGUUGGUGGACGAACUCCUCAAAGAAUGUUGGAAGAACAGCAAGGGCCCCACCGUGCCUACCCCAGAAACUCUAAUGGCCACCUAUGUGAGGCUCAAGGCCGAGUUUGAGGAGAUAGUCGCCGUUGAGAAGCAAUAUUCCCCUGGCAAGGUGAUGGCCCCCAUCGAGGACGAGGAGAUGGCCCCCAGAGGGAUGGGAUCCUCCGGUGAGCUGCACAAGGUAAAAAGUAAUGCCUUACCAUAGUUGUGGUUUUUGAUUAUUUGCAAUGUGCUUGCUAAUAUGUUAGGGUUGUGUAGGUGUCGCUGGACGUCCUUGAUGAUUCCGAUGUCGCGGCCCGUCCUGUGGACAACGCCCUAGAGAUUGUUUUUGAUGUCGCGGUCCGUCCUGUUGACAUCGCCCCGGAGAUCGAUUCCGAUGCCGCUGUCCAUCCUGUGGGCAUCGCCCCAGAGAUCGAUUCCAAUGUCGCGGUGGACAUCGCCCCAGAGAUCGAUUCCCAUGCCGCUGUCCGUGUUGUGCUCAUUGCCCGAGAGAUCGAUGACAAGAAAUAGUUGGUCGCGCUAAUCCUUCAGGGUAGUUUGCAUUGUGUUUAAUUACCAGAACGAUGCGUGUUAUCAAACCAUCUUAGGGCUAGUGCACUGUCUUAUGUGGGCGGUACUUGCUACUUUUGUUUGAUAGUGAAUCAUGUGAACCCUCUCCGAGUUGUGGAAACAGAUUUACCCUCACCAGCUUUUGAUGUAAUAUAUGGCAUGCUUAGAUGUAAGUUUGAACUGUUUAUCAUAUCAGCAGGGCUUGUCUGAUGAUUCUUGGUGUUAGUAGGCUAGCUACUGUGCGAGCUAUAGUACUUGCAAAACACUCACCGAAGAGAAACGUUGGGGCUGAUGAGCUCGUGGUACGCUUAUACUGAUCCGUCGUCGAUCGGCCAAUAGCCCAAGCUCCUAAAAUUGUAGGCUUAGCGAUCGAUCAGACAAUAGUCGACACGGAUACAUUCAGCCUCCUUUGGUUUGUAGGAAUUUUAUAGGAAUUCUAUAGGAUAGGAUUUGCAAAGGAAAAAUUCCUUUAAAGCCCUUUGGUUUGUAGGAAUGGAUUCCUAUUCCUAUGUAGGAUAGGAAUCGAUCCUUCACAUUUUGGAGGAAAAAAACAUUAGCCUAGACUCAAUGGAAAAAUUUGUAUCCUAUGCACCAAAUGACAUCUCUUCCUCUACAAGAAUUGAGAUGCAUGUCAUCUCACUUCCUAUGAUUUUUCUAUUCCUAUAAAAUGUCUAUCCUAUGAACCAAAGGAGGCCUGAAACGGAGGGAGUACAAAUCCUAGGCGGGCUAGUUUGGCCUAGUGGGUUUCAGUGAUAUGACGUGGUACAGUGCCAUCCAGUCUUCGCGUGUGGUAGCAGUACUGCGGGUACAGUAAGUUUUCUUGAAGAAGCGGAAUUCAACAAAGUCAUGAUGGUUCCUUCGUCCGACCAACUUACAGUGGGAAAGGUUGGGCCUACGCUACGACCGGGGUGGACCAGGAUAAUUUUGUGCAUGGCAGGUGGACCAGGAUGGUCGACGUCCCACAUGUCGGUGAAUGAAAGUAUUCUUUCAGAUAUAGUGGACGAGCAACGAGUAUUCAUUGUUUAUUUUUGAUGAAACCUAUUGUCUCCACUAUUACGACGGAGGAGUGUGAAACACGGCAGCCCGGUGAACUUGGCAUGUGCACCACUCCCUCCUUCCUCAUGUAAUACUACCAUAGUGUUGACUAUAAGGUUGGCUAUAAGGUUACAACUUUUUCUCACUUUAUAGUCAAAAAAACUUUUUCUCACUUUCUCUCUAUCUAUUUCCUCUCAAAUAUUCUUUACCUUUCUUUUUUUAGACACAAUUAUUUUUUUAUGCCUCUUUUUUUAUAGAAUUAGUUUUUUUAUACCUAGGAGCACGUGUAGAGACGGGCUCCUGCAGAUCCCACUCCUUGACUUUGUCAAUGCCUCUCUCUCCUCCACGUAAGGCCGGUCAUAGUGGGAGUAACUUAGCAAGUAACAUAACAUACUUCAAGAAAAGUUUGCUUAUGUGGCAUAUAGUUAAUGAGGAGAGAGGUGUUUGGAGUAACAUAAUAUGUUACUGUAACAUAACACGUCCCAAGACAAAAUGAGUCUACGUCUUAAUAAAUGAUGGGUUGCAUGAUACUAUACAUAUGUUACUCCCCACUAUGAAUGUAGUAACAUAGACUAGUAACAUAUGCAUGUUACUAGUCUAAGUUACUCCCCACUAUGACUAGCCUAAGCGGGAUUAGGGCAUGUACAAUGGUUCUAUAGUAGGGAUGCCACGUAGGAUAAAUGAUGAGGUGGAGGAAAGAGAAAUCAUAAGAAAAAGAUUGUCUUCUCUUAUUUAAGAGAAGAAAAGAGAUGAUCUCUUAGCACAAUAUGUUUCACCAUGUUUUUAGGAAUAACUAGUUAUUGAAGAUAAGGCUAAGGGAUGAUCCAUUGUACACAUGUUUUUUUGUUCAUCUAUAAAUUACAUGCAAGACUUAUGAUAAGACUAUCUUAUCAACCAUGGUACUACUUGCUAUGAAUGCGGGCAGCUGGCGUCUGAGAGCAUGCACAAUGUAUUAUUCUGCUGCCUCUAGACCUGCCUCUAAGCCCUUAGAGGUUGUCGCUAUACACUGCUGGACCAAGCCUCUAGGGAAAAUUCUCUAGCGUAGCCUCUAACACAAGAGGCUGCCUCUAAGCCAUUUCUUUGCACUAAAAUAAUUCCCUGGCCCUACUUACAAUCCCUGUAGCACAUAUAUUUGUCCAGAUUUGGCCUGAGAUGGUUGGAGAGAGUAAAUAUUUUAUGAUACAUAUGGGCUCCACCUUAGAGGCUGCAUGCCAUAGCUAUACAUUGCGUUUCUUUUAACACACUAUAUAUUGCGUUACAUAUGCCCUGAGGGGGAGCACGCGGGGGGAGGUGGUGGGGUGGGGGGUUCUGGUGGGCCAGGGCGGUCAGAAGCGGGCUUGGAAGCGGUCCGGACUCCCGCAUGGCCCACCUCACAUUAUCACCAUAUAUAUUUCUUGGAGUCCGUGCGUGGCGGGUGGGCGAUCUCUUCUCCCUCCCCCGUCUCUCUCUUCUCAGUCGACGCCCGCCGAGCGAUUAGAUUUCGGCUAUCGACGGUUUAUUCAAUUGCAGUCCCACAUGUCAGUGAAAAUGUGAGACAACGCGUGUCCCCUUUGGUGAGCGGCGUGCGAGCCGGACUGUCGGGGGUGCGACGCGUACAAGUCAUAAGUGUGCCACUUUUUCCUUUUGAACUUGCAACGCGUAACAUUUUCGUGUGAUCGAUCAUAGAAAUCCAGAGCAAAAUGACGAGGAUGGUGCUUUCCCACGCGUUAGGCAGGCUAGUUUGAGUGAUAUGACGUGCUACAGUGUCGUCUACUUGCUCCAUUUUUAUGUAAGCAAGAGUCUACACUCUUACGUGGGAGGAGUGCGAAACACGGCGGAUCUGAUUUUGAUCGAGGGAUAACUGUUCCGUGCGAAAUAAUGGAGCACUGUUAGCGAUUAUAGCAUGAUAGUUAGGGCAUCUCUAGCGCUGGCCCUCAAAUUUACACCGGCAUCUGUCCGAGGACACUGAUGGAUGCCAUCCAAUGCUGCUCGCAUACCUUUCGACAACUAUAUGAACUAACCGAACGAAAUUCGUGCAAACAAAGCAAAUUUCAAAUUAACCGGAUGAAAUUCAUUACAUUUCGAAAACUUUUCCUAUAAACUAGACGAAAUUCAUUACAUAUUUCGCACAAACCAUACUAAAACCUACUGUAAACCUAAUCUAAACGAUCGUCGGCGCCCGACCACCAUGUCCGGCCAUGAACCCAAGAAAGCCGGCCAUUGCCUUUGCCUCCUCCUCAUCCGCCUCGAUAACCUCCUCCUCCGGAGCACAAGGUUCUGAAGAUUUCCACCUCCAUGUCGCCAUCAAGCGGCUAAUCGGCCGCCGAUGUUUAUCCCACCAAGCUUGGCGUCAACUGAGUGGAGGAGCGGUGGCCUUCCUCGGACCAGAGCGGCGGCGGCCUACCAUGUACUGCUCUUCCUCGCUGCCGGCUUCAUGGUCGUGGCGGCGGAGGGCGGCCGGGGGGGAGCCGGCGAUCUCCUUUGUCUGCUCCUGUGACAGUACAUCCAAGAGAGCUUUGGAGUGCGCCGGAGCGGAGCCGCCGAUGUCCUUCGUCUGCUCCUGCGACAGUACGUCCAAGAGAGCUUUGGAGCGCCAGGAGGCCAUGGUUGGAGUGGUGCCGAUAGAAGGAAGGGACUGGAGGAGAAUGAGUGUGGGUCUUUGACUAUGGCUGGGAGCUGGGGCUCAAGUUAAUAUAGCGGGCGAAUGGCAAUGAGCCACGACAGACGGAUGGACGGCUGGCGCCGGAGUAGGUUCGUCGGCAGCCGCGUGUCAUUAAUGUGGGCGGCGGACGAAAGGAUAGCCGUGGUGUCGUUAUCGCAGAACAGUCGCUUGCACCGGGAUGCCACGCAGGUGGCGCUCUCUCUGCCGUCGCGCUGCUGCAAUGUCGGCAAUAGUGAGAGGUCGCGUCAGGCGUGAAUGCGGACGCUGCUUCACUGACUUAACCGCAGGUGCAUUGUAUCACUGACAUGUGGGCCCAACGGGCAUCUAGCAUGCAUGUCAGUGACACACCAACUACACCUGCAGUUAAGGCCGGUGAAUGCGGCAUUGACGUUCUGGAGAGACGGUGACCGUUUCAGGCGGGAAGCGAGCGCAAGCUAUGGAAGGGGUUUCGGUAGGCCAGGGCGGUCAGACGCUGGCGUGGUGGUAAAAUGUGAACUCAUGGACGACGAGCCUUUGAAGCGUAUGUGGCACGUAUUGACAACCAGGCAUCCAUGCAACCGCUCUUGUCGCCAGCUAGCCUUCGACGACCACCAUUAGACACCACACAACCAUGCAUAACUUCCGAAUAAUGGACGAAUCGAUCAGAUACACACUCGUGUGCAAUGGCACUAUGAUCAGUUGCUCACGAUAGUACAUACUCCGUACCAUAGUACGCUCUCUAGCUAGGUUGUUUUAUAGAUUGUCAUUGUGAUGGACAAUAUACAUGAGCAAGGCGUCGAGUCACGAGUAUGACCGUUGGUGUUGAGCCAGGUGAAUACAUGCUCGGUGUUCACGGAGGCCUCCAGCAAAUGUCUAAACAGUAAUGUCACAUACGCAUAAUUUUUGUUUUUAUUUCUUUCUCCACUGACAGGUAGGCCCGCAUAGAUAGAUAGAUAAAGAACACGAGCUGAUGAGGCGCAUGCGGACUGGCCGUAUAAUCACAAUAUCUCGUAUACAAUGAUCAAAGUGAGCUAUCAAGACAAGUUCGAUGACCGCCAAUGCAUUUUACUCGGUAAUAAAUGACCAGGAUUGAAGGGGAAUCCAAAUUUCCUUCGUCUUCUGUCCUUGAGCUCUUGACAAACUAAUGCACUUUACGGUUGUCCGGCCACUCCACCCCAGAGCUGUCACCAAGCGUCGUUCAUGCCACCACGCCGCACGCUAACCGGUAAGGAAGCGAUGGCAUCCCGCUGCGUCGAGUUCCUCGCCGCCCACGACCGCACACAGAAUGGUAGGGAAGCGGUGGCAUCCCGUCGUGCCGAGUUCAUCGCCGCUCGCGACCUCACACCUAUGUGGGCGGAAUUUGAAGCUGCCAAGGCCGAAUGGGCGGUAGAGCAAGAGGCGGCCAAAGCCGCACAGAGGGAGCGGAAAAGUCAGAAAGCACUCAAGAAAAGAGAGGCCCACCACCGCAAGAAAGAAGAGGACGCAUGCGCUGCUGCGGAGAGGUCGACGGAGAUCCAAGCACGGUGGGGUGUCGCCGACAAAGCCGGGAAGGAGAACGACGGCGUCUGGCCAGCAUGUGAGAAGUAGUAGUACUAGUAGUUAGUGUGUGUGUCUGUGUCACCCGUAUGUUUGUUUAAUUAAUUACGAGCAUGUACCAGUACUACUAGUUACUACUGUAGUUUUUAGAGAAAAUUACCAGUACAUUAGCCUAGACUCAAUGGAAAAAUUCCUAUCCUAUGCAUCAAAUGGCAUCUCUUUCUCUAUAGGAAUUGAGAUGCAUGUCAUCUCACUUCCUAUGAUUUUCAUAUUCCUAUACAAUUCCUAUCCUAUGAACCAAAGGAGGCCUCUGCUAGAGUAACUACUGUAGCUAGCAGUACUGCUGGUACAGUAGUUUUCUUCAAGAAGCAGAAUUCAACGAAGUCAUGAUGGUUCCUUCGUCCGAGCAACUUCACAGUGGGAAAGGUUGGGCCUGUGAUUUGACGGCUCAUUAGUAAUUACUGCGGAGCGACGACCAGGGUGACUCUCCCUUGGAGUUCUGCGGGCAUGGCAAGUGGACCAGGAUGGUCGACGUCCCACAUGUCGGCGAAUAGAAGUAUUCUUUCCGAUAUCGGGGAGCAAGGAAACUGUGUGGUAUAGUAUCACUGGUGAUUUAUAUUUAUUUUUUAUUUCUGAUGAAUGCUAGCGUUUCAACUCUUACGACAAAGGAGUGCCAAACACGGCACGUGCUGGAUGUCCCACACGUCAGCGAAAGGAGUGGGACAUGAACAGCGUGGUAGAGCGUCUCCACUUCUGGGUCGGAGACCACACAUAGUAGUACUACUGUACUAGUGGUAUGAACGAUACAAAGUGCGACCCAGAGAGAAAGACACGUCUAGUUGGAAGGUCUCGGGGCAUACACAUAAACAAAUAUAAAACCUAAUAUGUGCCUCCAAUUAAUAUAGUAGUACUAGAGUACUUAGGCACGUACUCCAUAACAUCACCGGGCAUUGCACGUACAACAUUUAGUGGUAGUAAGAGACAAAUGCCUAUAUGCCACACAUGUUCAUACUAUUUGUGCCUUUCUACUUCACUUACGGCGCUACAUUACUCAGGUUCGUACGUCCACUCCUGGGUACAUGUCCGUCUCGUAGUUCCAGUCCCACGUGUUCUUCAUAGAUGGAAUGAUCCAUAACUGUGGGCAACGGGAGUCCAUAUCAUCACAGUUAGUGUGGCUCCCCAUGAUGGAGACUCAUCCAAACUAUGGCCAGCCUCGACGCGGAGCAGUCGCGUGCACCGGGAAGCGGCGCUCUCUCGGUCGUCGCGCUGCUUCAAAGCCGACCCCAGUGAGAGGUCGCCUCCGCUCUGGCGGGGCAUUAAUGCGGCACUGACAUUCCAGGGCGACGCUGACCGUUUCAUGCGGGAAGCAUGCGCUGGCAAGGGAGGGGGGUUGGGUCGGCCAGGGCGGUCAGACGCGGGUGUGGUGGUGGUAUUGGUUUUGAACCGUUUCAGGUGUAGUACUGGUAGUUUGCAAAACUACUCAAUUAUUGCACUCAGUUUCCUAAGAAAACAUGGUAAAAAACAUUACUCCACAGCCCGCUUCCCUUCUCCUUCAUCUUCCACCGCCCGUGCACGUCCGCGGGAAGCGACCGGUCAACCCUUAUAUAGGAGUGCUAGCACAAAAAUGCAUGCAUGACCACUAAAAUUUCCAGAUUAAAGCGCCGCUUUGGCGGGAGUAUGGCGUAUGUUGUUACCUUCGGCCGGGCCAUGGCUACCGAGCUACGGCGGCCAGAGAAGAGGCAGCGGGAGGGGAAUGAAUGUAGCUACUGUUUGGGAUCACGUGUACCCGCGGGUGCACAAAUUGUAACAUACGUGUCUGCUUAAGUGGGCGUCAUGUAACUGGUGUGUGUGAGAGAUUCUGAGAGACAGAGUGCGUGUGUGCGACUCUACUCUUCAGACAUGUACUCAACCUUUUGCAUCGGGAUAUAAGUAUAAUGGUAUUACACUUUAGCUAGUGAUUUACGUGGCCAUGUUAACGUGGUUGUGCAAAAAAAGUCACUUCCUGCUUGUGAUUUGCGUUAUAUAAUUACUAGCAAGAUGCUCGUGCAUUGCACGGAACAUCAAUAUGCAUUUUUUUACAAAACACCUAUUGUGAUUGACCCAUGCAGGAGUAAUCCCAUGUGUAAAAACUAAUGAUAUCUCGAGAAUUUAUCGGAAAAUUGGUAUCUCGACAGUUUCAUCAAAAAAAUGAAAGAUGAGAGAUAAGGUGAGGAGGAGUGGAGCGUGGUGGUGACUGGUGGUCGGACUGGGCGGAGGCAUGGGGAUGGACGGCACCGGCAGGCGACAGCGGUCACCAUGCUAGAUUGUUCCAGAGACUUCCUUUUUUAAUUGCACAGCAAUGAGGUUGUGGGAGAUAAGGACGAUGAACGAGGCAAGGCCUUGUCUAUAAAUGUGGAGAGAGGUGCGGGUAUCUGUUGUAAAAUUGUCAUAGUUUGCUUUCUAUCCAUCGGAUAUAGAUCGGACGGUCUAUAUUACAAGAUGGCAGGCACACCAUCAUCACCAACUCAUUUUUCUAUAAGAGUAGAGAUGAUAAGUUUGCUAACUACUAAAGUAAAGUGGAAUUUGUCCAUGUUAUACAAGUAAAUUAAGGUGAUUGCUUAUCAUACGGGUAAGGUUGGACGAAGGGUGGUAGGAACAAAUGCUCCACCUAGAGCAUGUGUGUGUGAGAUGGAGUCUUAGUGUGUGUGGGGGGGUACGUGUGUGUGACGCGGGGUCCUCAGUGGCGGAUAUAAUUUAAGUGUGCGUGGCUUCAUCAUAGUGUAUGACAGGGUCCACCAACGAGGGGGUGCGAGAGAGAAAAGGCCCGUAGAGAGGGAAGAGAAGGCGUGUGCGCGUGAGAGGAGUCGACAUCGAGAGAACGUGUUUGUUCGAGAGACACCGAGGAAGACUACUAUAUAUCGAUGGUGCAUGUAGGCGGGAAUUAAACGAAGGAAUGGUCUUAUUGGUUUCGGGGAUAUAGGGGAAGAGUGAGAGAGGGGGGUAGCUAGAAGGAGAUUAUUAAGUGUGAGUGUGUGUUUUACCCAUCCAGGCGGAAGUUAUGUGCACACAAGAAGAGAACGAUUCGAUGUGGCGUUAGGGUUGAGGGUAAUUAACUAUGUAUGGAGACAUAGGAGACCUUGAAUGUGCAUGUGCGAGAGGUAUACAUGUAUACGUGGGAUGUGUGUGUGCGCGCGAGCAUGAUCGAGAUAAAAGAAAGAAGACAUAAGUCAUAAGAUCAACGAUAUGGGAGAGAUCGGUGUGACAAUAUGCAUGCAUGUGAGAGUGCAGGGAAAAAGGCUCGAUAAUUGAGCAUGUGUUUUUGUCUUUAAGAGAUAGUGGCGUGGACUGGAGCAUGCAUCUAUGGCGAGCAGAGGGAGCGAGACACAACGAUUGUGCAAAAGAUAUCAACCUAUAAAUGCAUGUAUGGAGAGACAUAUAUAGUGUGGGUGAUAGGAAGCAAGAGUGUGUGCGAGAAAGAAAUGUUGACGGAGAAACUACAGAUAGAUACAGAGAUAGAGAUGCUAGAUAGAGCGGCUAGUUUGAGUGUUGGAGAUGACCGCCGGGUGGUUCAGAGGGUGAAGUUAUGUGUGUGUGAGAGAAAGAUAAAAAGAGGGCACUUGACUGCAUGUAGAGAGAAACAUAUAUAGUGUGCGUGAUAGGAAGCAAGAGUGAAGGCAAGAAAGAAGGUUGAUGGAGAAACAGAUAAAUAGAAAGAUAAAGAUGCUAGCUAGCUAGUGUGUGUUAGAGAUAGGAGUCGAGUGGAUCAUAAGGCUGAGUUAUGUGUGUGCAGGUGUGAGAGAGAUAGAGAGAGUGUGCAUGUGAGUCACAUACAAACAAAUAUCAUAGAGAAAUGAGAUCCCGAGAGACGGAGUUUUGUGUCUGCGAGAGAGAAAGAUAUUUCACAAUGAGAGUGAUAGCUAGAGAGACAUAUGAGGGAACGCAAGAUAUCUCUAGGGAGAGAGAGUGUGUGUGAAUGACAUACAAGAGAAUGGUGGAGAGAUAUGAGACCCUGGGAGACAGAGUUUGUGUUUGUGUGUGAUAAAGAGAUAUUUAAGAGGAAGAGUCGUAGCUUCUCAUAUCUAAGGAGCGAAAGACAUCUCUGUGUGAGAGGGCGUGUGCGAGUGGCACACAGGGGAAUAGUAGAGAGAAAUGAGACCCCGGGAGACGAAGUUUGUGUUUGUGCGAGAGAAAGAUAUUUCACAUGGAGAAUCAUAGUUAGAGACACAUAGCAGGGAGCGAGAUAUACUUAGAGAGAGAUAGAGUGAUGAAGGUCGAGGGAGAGAGUACCGUCGGUGUGUUGCGAAGAUAAAAGAUCAUUGUCGACAUACAUGUAGCACGAGAGAUACCCGAGAGACGAUGAACACGUAUAGGUCUAGAGAGAUACUCCUAUAUAAGCAUGAGUGAUAGCUAUAUGAGACGAAUAUAUGGAUUAAAGGGGAUUCAAAUAUUUAAACUGUAGUUCACGACAUCGAUAAUAUCAUAACGCAAAUUGGUGUAUGAAACAUGCAUAUUCAUUUGAAUUUGGGGACACGUGUAAUGUUAUAUAGUUUAUCAAUAUUAGUGAUCCAUAGAUUCUUUAAUUAGAGACAAUGCAUGGUUUAUAUGCAAUUAAUGUCUAGACGGGAUUACACUAUAUGUUGCGUGUGUGAAACACAUUAUACAUGUUUGAGAAGUAAAAAAACGCAUGAAACACACAAUAAUUGGAGACAGUUAGUGAGGAAUGCAUACAUUGGAUUUCAACAUAAAGUGGUUUCAAAUAUCUGGAAAUCCAAAUUAAGAUGGAUACAGCCUUAUGAAUCUUAGAUCAUGCCAUUUGUAAACCAUAUUUAUGUAUAAAGGGUGUUGUGCUUUUGAAAGUAUAUAUAAAAAAUGAUGUAUAUAGAAUUUUAUUCCAAUCGCAAAUGGAUCCUGCCCGAACAAAAAUAGAAUACAAACUGGAUUCAAAUUGAGUUGGCACGAUAAACGUGCACUCUUGCUCUGCAAAUAUUUGAACGAAGCGGGGAAAGUCGCAGUAACCGCCUGACAUCAAAAUCUGCGAGAUGGAAAUUACUACCUAUCUCUAACACGCAAAGCCAAUCGGCUCGAUUUCUAUAGGUUUUGAUAGGGGUAGGUUUGUAAUUUCACUCAAACGUGACAUAACCGCCUCUCACCCGGAUUCAUACACGGUGGGUGCCAAAACACAGUGUCUCCUCGGUGAAAAUCGACUCCCUCCCCGAUUCAUACACGAUGGGCGCCAAAAACAAACUCUCGUCGGCAAAUAUUCGGUAUAUGUAUAGUAAAAAAAUAAUAAUAAUCGGUAUAUGCGAGAUUACCGUCCUAUCCCCAACUGACUAAUAUUGCUGUGAUGUAGGAAAUUUUAAAUGGGGGCUAAGUUUGUAAAUUUCCUCGCAUUUGAGACAAGCGCGCCCUGAAGACAUGGUUCCCCCUUCCUCUCUCCCUCCAUUUCCCCAUUCGUACUCCGUGGGCGCCAAAACACCCUCUCCACCCCAGCCUCCUCCGUCCGCCACCCCAUCCACCGCCGUCCUCCUCCACCAUGCCGGAGCUAAUACCCCGACGUCGUCGGCCAUUAUAAGAGAUCGACCUCUCUCAUCCUCUGCUUCGGACCGGGAUCCUUGCAUCCCGUCCUCUCGCUUCAUCCCCGCCGUCGUCCACCUUGCCGGCGCCGCUCCUACGACCGUCUCGUCCACCGUGCCCCGCCGCCACCGUCUACCCUCCUAGAUAUGCUUUCACGCCGCCGACAGCCAUCGCUACCGCAUCACCGUCAAAUUCUCAGCAGAUGCAUAGACGGUGCCGCACCAGAGGCGGUACUCUUUCGUAUAUGCUCAACUUAUUUAUCGCAACAAGAAAAUAGAUCGCCACUGCUUUACUCUGAUUUCUUGUCCAUCACUUACUUGCUAGUUGAAAGCAAACAUUGGUUGCGAAGUUGCCUUUGUCCGGUUUGCACCUUUAGAUCCGCCAUGGCACGCUCAACACUAUACUCGCAGUGCUUAUGGUUUUCCCCUUUUAUAUUCCACACUAGUUAAAUGACAUUAGACUAAAUUUCAAAAUUGGGUCAGUCAAUUUUUGAGAGCUUGUCGGAGUUCGCCGGUGCGAAGGAAGGGGCUCGGGUGGGGACGGUGGUUGUGGGGGGCGGUGGUGGGGCCUCGCCGAACGAAGAAAACUCGACGCGGGUGGGGGCGGGGGUGGGGGUGGCGGAGGAACACAGGCGGUGGGGGCCGGUGGUUCGGUCGGCGGCCCGUGCGGUGUUCUGUAUGGGAAGAAUCAGAGACAAGGAAGAAGAAGGGUUAGGAGACGUAGGAUCUUCAUCCAACAACCUGAAAUGGUCGACUGACCCAAAUGACAAAAGUCACGCGACUUGCAUGCAGACAUGCAGAAUAUGCUUCCUCUUCUGUUCUUUAACAUGUUCCUCUUCUAUUCUUCUUUAGUAAGCACAGUAUGUUCCUUGUCAGGAAGGGGAGCAGGGACAUCUACAGUCGACACCUCUAUUGGGCCGGUUCUGCUAAAUGAUUUCGCACUUCGAGUUGGUCUACCAUAAUACCCCGGAAAUGGUGGGAGCCGCGUGGUCUUUGAUAGACUAAACUGAUAGUAACAGCUGUGCGCCUUCAGAUGAAUAGAGCUGGCAUGUAGGUGAUCGAUAGGCUGCAUAUUAGUAGCGGCAAAACCCUAUGUUUUCCAGCCAGAUCCGCUUUCCCGAUUUAUUUAUGGUGGUUAUGGUGUACCCCUAUUAUCUACACUCCGAUCUGCCUACUGGCUCUGCGCUCUCGUUAUCAUGGUUUGGCAAUAAACUUUCUAUACGGUAUAUUAUGAACCUAUCGUCUGCCAACUAUCCUUACAUAUGGGGCCCCUAACAGGGAGCUUAUUUUUUGUGUAGUUGUGCCUGAUUAUAUUAAUCUACUCACCAUGUUACAACACACAUGGGCUCUCUCAUCAGAAUCCAGUGAUAGCACACAAGGGUUUACAGGGAGCCUCUAUUACAUUACAAUAUCCUCUGCAUUAUAAUGAUAAUCUCACUACUAUUUGUGAUUUCAUGCUUUACAGAUAUUGUACGUAAUCACAAUGAAUAUAAGAAUGCGCACAUCAGAAGAAUAUUGCGGAACAGUUCAAUGGAUAACAAACUUGGCAUCAAGGGAUUGAGGUCCAUUGUGGAUGCAAUGAAACCCACAUGCUCCCGACCUAUAGAUUCGUAUUCAGAAUAUGAUCCUAAUGACUAUUCUGAGCUCAAGGAGUCAAAGGUAGAUGGCCUAUCCUGUUCACCCAAUAAGGUGCAUGUUCUAAUUUGGCAAGGUUUUAUUGGUUGCACAUAUCUUGCAUAAGGUGUCUUGCAUUUCUUUUGCUUCGUUGCACCGCCAUCUGCUUAGUUUACUCAUGAUAUAUGUGAAGAUGCCAUGCCCAUCUAUUAUCAACACCUAUUCCAUUUGUCGUCAUACCAUGUUUUUCCAUUCAAAUGUUGUUCUUGUGUUUCAGACAUCCAAAAGGAAGAAAGUGAUUGCAGAACCUGAAGGAGUACAAGCAAAGUCCUUGAAAAAGGUGGUGCUACCAGAGAAAUCACAUAGCACCCGACGUAUAUUGGCGGUCGAAACAGCGCCGCAAAACCUAGGAUAUCGCAACUAUGCUGGUCGCUGCUUUGCUCUUGUGAGUACCUAUUGUCAUAUCGUUGUCCUUACAUUCAUACCUUGUGGAUUAUGUGACAUCGUUGUGCAUUAUAGCUUGCUUAUCCACUGUUCGCUCCAAAUUAUCAGAUCUAUAUUAAUGCUUAAAUUAAUGUAGAAUAAACCCAAUGCCUAUGAAGAAAUUUAGUUCUGCAUUGUUCUUGUAAGUAUCUGUUGUCCUUCAUCACUGUACUUAUAUUUGUCAGCUAGUUCUUCAUGUACACUUUGCGGCUUAUUUUCCCUUGUCCUCUAUUUUUCUAUACAUCAGAUCUACAUUUACUCUUGCCAAAAUAUUGAAUAAAACCAAUGUUACUGAAGAAGUUUAGCUCCGCAUUGCUCUUGUCAGUGCCGUCUGCCUGUAUGAUGUAUUUACAUUUGUACUCUGCAUCUUAAGUUAAAUAAUCGCCAUUUGUUCCUAUAUUUUCACAUCUAUAUUUACUCUUGACAAAAUGUAGAAUAAAGGCAAUACUCUUGAAGAAGAGUGUGCGGUAAACUUCUUGAAUUGCCCCCCCCCAUCAAUAUGGACAAGGCCUUUAUAGAGCCUGUCUUCACUACUAAUGUAAGUUUGUCCUCCUCGAGCCUUCAAACUUUGUUGUUUAUAUUUGGAUAGCUAUGAGUGCAAAUACUGUUUAUUUUUGUCGUCUGCAUCAAAUUGCUUGUUCAAAGUUUAUAAAGUAGAAGUACAUAAACAUAAGUUUGUCCUUCUCAAUUUCAGUCUUUAGUUGUACAAUCUAGUUCCUUAUUCGUACCAUGUAAAUUAAACUAAACAUAGCAAGUUAUCUUCUUUAGCACUAUGUGUAUGCUUGUGUUCUUGAUUUGUAAUCCAGUGGUGUGGUGAGACUACCAACAACAACACAAUGUCAUAUCCUGCUAUGUCUCAACUAUGAACAAUGCCAUAUUAUAUUAAUGUUAUUUAAAUCAGGUCUCUUUAUUUACCAAUCUGAAAUGGUAUAAAUUGACAGUGCACUCACCAUUCAUGCUUAUACGUUGUUUAGAACUACAUCUAUGCUUGUGUUCUUGAUCUGUAAUCCAGUGGUCUGGUGAAGCUGGCUGCUCCUGCACAAUGCCAUUUCUUGUGGUCUUAACUAUGAACAAUGCCUAUUAUGUUAAUGCUAUUUUAAACCGUGUCUCUUUAUUUCUGACAAAGAAAUGAGAUGAAUUGACAGCGAUGAUGCUUAUACGUGCAAAACCUGUUAUCUACCUACUUGUUUCCCUUUCAGGGUGACAACACUGCUGCUAGGAAAAACUGCCACAAUGAUAGUGAGACGAACCCAUUUGUUUGUCCCUCUAACACAUAUUCCAGAGGAGAAGGCAACACAUAUUCCAGAGGAGAAGGCAACACAUAUUGAGGGUAGGGAUACAACCACAAAGUCACAUCUUGAUGUAGUGUCAAACUUACUCAGUGACACAAGCUCGAUGAAGUCACCGCCUGAAUCUGUUCGACUUCUUCAGUCCAAAAUUCAAGCAGAAAUACAUGCUUCUGCUCAAAUACGACUGGAACUCCAAUCUCUAUGCAAGAUUAACCGUAAGUCAGGACAUUUAUUGAUGCUAUGCUGCUUAAGUUGGUGGACAUGAGCGCCAAAGAAGCGCAGUCUCGUCAAGUUGCUAAGCUGCUUGCGCUUCAACUCCUGGGCCGGGCUAACCUUUCUUGAACUGUGUUGAAGUGCUGUCAGUUCUGUCUAUUUUUGUCCGCCUGUUAACUUCCACUGGUGGUGACCUGCCCAGUUUAUGUAAUCUGCUGUUUGGUUGCCCUUUAUUAUCAUUGGCGCCGAACUUUGAUGCCGAGGGGAUGUAAUAUGAUGUAAUUUCUUUGUUGUAUAGUCUAGGCUUAUUCUUGGUCGGUAUGCUGUAAUUUAGGCCGGAAGGUUCAGUGGAUCUCAGUGUUGUCAAUCUUCAGGCUGGCCCGUUACUCAUAUGGGCCAAAACGUGGGCCUAUAAUCAUCUUGGGCCAUUAGCAGGUCUAAACCUAUAGUUGUUUCCCGCCUUUAACAUGCCGAGUAAAGUUUUGUCCAGCUGGGCCAGAGAAUACCAUGGGCUUUUAACAGGCUAAAACCUAGAUUGGGAUAGCGUUGAGGCGAAAAAAUCACGGGCCAAUACAGGCCAAAAUUGCCUAAGGCCCAUGUUUGUCCCAAAUAGGACGAGCAGUUAACAUGCCAAAAUAUAUCUCGGGCCUGUUUGGCCCAAUAAAAUUAUGGGCUUUAAGCAGGCCGGUAUCUAUGCGGGCCAUAAGCCUAAAAGUGUCACGGGCCAUUAUCAGAUGGGCUGUAAGCAGGCCGGAUUCAACGCAGGUUGUAAUUAGGCCAAACUGUUACACGGGCCAUUAACAUGCCGAUAGGCUAGUUGGGCUGAAAUUUAUCCACGAAGACUACGGGCCGUUAAGAGGCCUAAAGUUACUUCGGACAAGAAAUAGCCCAGUUUCUGCAUGGGUCGAUAAAUGGCCUAAAGUUAAACCGGGCCGACAACGUCCCAGAUGCACCAUGGGCCGCUAACAGGCCGAAACUAUUAUCGGGUCGAACUGGUAAACGGGCAUUUAACAGGCUGAAAUACAAACCUGUCUUAGUAUGGGCCCAAAAGAACAGUGGCAUGUUAACGGGCCUGAUCCGAUAUGGUCUGUAAUUUGGCCGAAAACGCGAUAGGCUGUGAACGGGCCUGAUCUGGUAUGGGCCUCAAUUUGACCCAAAACAUGGCAGACUGUUAACGGGCCAGCCCACUAGUGUCUGAAAAAACAUGGUGGGCCUUUAGCUGGGCCUGCCUUUUCACCGGAAUGGGCCUCUGUUGGGCCGUGCCAUGUGUCGACGUAUCAUAGGCGCCUCCUGUCCAAUGAGUGGAUGACAUCUGUCCGAACAUUGAGCCAACACAUGUUUCCUCUGGCCAAUGAGAAUUUUACACGUGGAAAAUCCCCAUUGGUCCCGGCUGUUAACGGGUUAUCGGAUCCAAAACCGGACCCGAUAGCUUAACGGCGUCCCGUUACAGUGGAUGCCACAUGUCGGUCACCCUUGACGAAAGCACUUCUAUGACGCGCGAUUUAUCGUCAUGGAAGUGGACACUUCCAUGAUGAUAAUUUUGGUAAUGUCAUGGAACACUUCUACGACAGCACAGUAUCUUGAUUCUGUCAUAAAAUUGUCAUGGAUGUACAUGCAUGACAGAAAACGUGACCUACUGUGACAAACACGUAUCAUCACGGAAGUGUCUUUUUUUUGUAGUGCAACAAAUGCUACUUUAAGAGUCUUGCUCCACAAGAAGGCCACGGUAUCAAUAUCAAAGAAAGUGGCAAAGCCCAUGAGUGGAAGUUGACGAACGGAAAGUAAGUUGUAUGCAAGGGACUCAACAAGCAUGACUUUCUCGAUCAUGAGAUCAUGAGAAAUGACAACCUUGCCAAGACCCAAUACCUUAGAAGAUGAGGCAUCAUACCAUUCGACAUUGGUGGGCAUAGAUGAAACCUUGUGCACGUCCACCACCAAGUCCUUUCUUCCGGUCAUAUGAUUUGUGGCUCCACUAUCGAGCAACCAUGAACCCCCACUGGAAGCAAACACCUACAAGAGAUCAAUGCUUGGUUUUAGGUACCCAUUUUGUAAUGGGUCCUUUGAUGUUAGCAACAAGGGUCUUAGGAACCCAGAUAGACCAUUCAAUGUACUCAUAAGAAGAACCAACAAAUUUGGCAUAAACAUGCCCAUCACUAGCACGGCAUAACACAUAAGAAGGGUUAAAGUCGCCAGCUUUGUUGGAAGGAGUGGCAUUGCCCUUAUUGACACCACCACCCUUUGCAUUAUUCUUCUUCUCCUUAGAAGUACCCUCUCCCACCUUCACAAACAUUUGCUUGAGAGGAGGAGGUUGUUUGGUGUUGUCAUUCUUCUUCUUCUUGGACUUGGGUGCAAACCCAAUCCCCUCCUUGCCCACAACUUCCUUUUGAUUGCUCAAAAGGUCGUUGAGGUUCUUCUCACCUUGUAUGCAAGACACAAGGCCUUUCUCAAGUUGCUCCUUCAACUUGGCAUUCUCCUCCACAAGAUGCACAUGCUCACAACACGAGUUGGUAGAAUUUGCAUUAUCAAUUAAAACCAUAUGAGGAAAUGUGGCUUUCUCCUUGGUUAGCUUCACUUGGAGUUGAUCAUGAGACUCCUUGAGGCUAGCAUGAGCACCCUUCAAGGCCUUGUGAGCCUUGUCAAGUAGAUCAAACUCCUCCUUGAGUCUAGCAUGGUCAACCCCAAGUUUGGCCUUCUCAGAAUUGAGCACACGAGAGACAACAAGAGCAUGAUCAAGAUCUUUCUUUAAUUUAGCAUGAUCAUCGUUGAGUGACUCCUCAAGAGCCAAACGAUGACCACGCUCUUCCUCAAGCGCAUUAGAGAGAUCCGAUAUCUCAUCGACAUAGUCACGACUAUGCCCUUCCAUCUCAGAGAUGGUUUCUUCGUGAGCCUCGAUCUUCACCAAGUUGUUCCAAGAGAGCAAUGAAGUGCUUCUUGGUUUUACCUUUGAGCUUACUCAUAAAAGACUCAAAUUCAUUUUCCUCCUCCUUCGCCCCCUCACUUUCAUCAAUGCAAUCCUUCAAUGAAGGAUUAGUAGUGAUGGUAGUUUUGAUGUUGGGGGUUACCAUGUUGGUGGCUUUAGCCAUGAGGCACUUGGCGGUGAUGUUCUCGUUGGGUGAAUCAAAGAGGGACACCUAUGGAGUUGUUGCAAUGGCAACGGAGGCCAUGGCAACCGUCUCACCAUCUUCUUCUUCUUCAUCAUCCUCAUUGUACUCUUCUUGUGCCACCAACCCCUUGGGAGGAGUCUUCUUGGUGAAGUUGUUCUUGUUGGGGAAAGACUUGGCCUUGUCUUUUCGGAUAAGCUUGCCACCAUUGUCUUCCCUCUUCUCGUACGGGCAAUCCACAACAAAGUGACUAACAUUGCCACAAUUAUAGCACGUCCUCACACGUUGCUUGACUUUGGCGCCACUUGAGUUGUUCUUGUUGAAGUUGGGCCUUGAGAUCUUCUUGUUACCCCAAAGUUGCCGUGAAGCAAGAGCCAUGUGCUCAUGAUAGGCAUAUUUGGUGUCUUUGUCACAUCCCUAGUUUUGGUAUGCUCUGAGCUAGCUAGUCAUGUGUUGCAUCAUGUUUAAAUUCUUUUUAAUUUGAAAUGGGGAUUAAUCAAACCCUAGCACCAGAUCAAAUCAAAUAGGUUCAACAUAAAAUCAUUUUCAAUGAACCCAAAAUGCCCUUUGAAAAUGUUCAUGAUUUCUGAUAAAGGUGAAAACCUCUGCCAAAAAUUAUGAACAUAUUUCUAGGACAUUCUGGAUUUUUGAAUUAACUCAUAUUGUAUUUGAAUUGGGGCAUUUAAAUACUAUAAAUAUUUUUAAAUGCUCCAACAAUUUUGGAAUUAGUUGAGGGCCUCUGGAAUAAUUCAUUUAGUGCCCAUAACUAUUUUCAGAAUUUUUAAAAGUGAUUUGGUUUGAAAACCAAAUUAAAACAAAUUUGCAUAAAUAGAAAACAGAACAAAACUAGAAAAGACAGAAGAAAGUGCAGGCUUACCUGGCUUACCUUGCAGGCCCACCUGGCGGCCCAGCACUGUGCUGGCCCAUGGCCAGUCAGCUGCUUCCUCUCGCCGGGCAGGUAGAGAGGUGAGCGCCGGCGUGCCUGAGCUCGCCAUGGCACCACCUGCUUCCCGCCCGCGCCCCUGGACGUCUGGACGACCUCCACGUCGUCGCCCCGACCCCCUGGACCCCUCCAUUCGCCCCCAACGCCUCUCUCUCGCCGUUCCCCACCACAGCCGAGCGUGCUCGCCGCCGCCGACCGCCGUAGCCGUGGCCACCGCCUCCCCCUCGCCUCUCCGACAUGCCCAGGAGCUCCGCCACCGUCGCCGACAUCUCUCUGUCGACUCACGCGACGCCAAACGCCCCGAAGUGCCGGCCCUGACCCCUUCUUCCUCCUCGGGUCGCCGAGAUCGCCACCGUCGCCCUGCUCGCUCCGGACCUCCCUCGCGCCCACUAACCUUCCCAUCGUGCUCGCGGUGAGCUUCUCUUCCUCCUCCCCUAAACCCCGUUGCUCGCCGCCUCCUCUAGGCCAUAGUUGCGCGGACGCCGAAGCUCGCCGGCGCCGUGCCUCAUCGCUGCCGCGGCCACAGCUGCUGCCACCCGCGUCCGAGCUUUGCCCCGUACUCAGCACUCUCCCAGGAGCCGGGCGUGCCCAUCCGUUCGACCUGCUGUUCCCCCUAGCACCAACCCCGACCUUGCCCGAACUCCAGCCACCGCCGCGAGCUUCGCCCCGGCGCGCUCGGGCCGUCUCAGCCCGUCCCAACCGCACAGAAAGACGCGGGGCACUCCCAGCUUCACGCUGAUGCCUCCGCCGUCCCUUUUGGUCGUCGGAGCAGGAAACCCGAGCCCCUCCGCCGCUUCUGGCCUCGCCGGCGUCAUGUCGCCGGUGGGUUUGACCCAUUUGACCAUGUGGGCCCUGCCCCCUGGUUAAACCUAGAUUAGGAAUUAAUCUAAUACUAAUUUAGUUAGUUAGCUAACUGUGACACUGACCAGUGGGUCCCACUGGUCAGUUUGACCUGGACAUCCCCGUUGACCUGCUGACGUCACAAUGACGUAGUGCUGAUGCAGUAACUCUUUUUCUGGAUUUAUUCUUAUACAGGAAAUUCCAGAAAAUAGCCAAAACUUCUAAAAAUCAUAGAAAAUCAACCGUAACUCCAAAUGAAAUAAUUUAUAUAUGAAAAAUUAUCAGAAAAAUGCAAUCUAUCCAUCUGUACUGGUUUCAUGCAUGUUAGAACACUUUAACCUUGCUGUUUAGGUGAAACAUGUUAAUACACUUUAUAAACCCAUAACUUGAGUUUGUAUUUGAAUCUUUGAUUCAAAUGAGCUCAAACCACCCUGGUUGUAGAUGCAUUAGCCCAACACACUCAUUUUUCCAUGUCAUAUUCAUGCAUCAUAUUGUUGCAUUGCAUUGAUUGUGUUUUCUCUCUGUUGCCGGUAAUUGUCCCCUCUCAGUAGACGUUGCUUCGACGAUGUGAUCGAUGACACCGAUGAAGAACUAUAUUAUCUUCAGAAGUGCCAGGAAAGCAAAACCCCCUUGUUCAUUCCGAUACAAUCCCACUCUCUCGCUCCUGCUCUCUUUUACUGCAUUAGGACAACAACGAUUCAACUGUUACAUGCUGCGGUAGUUGAACCCCCUUUCCUCUGCAAGACCUGUCAUUGCCACAGUAAAUAGAUGAAACCCACUAGCAUGAGUAGGAGUUGUUUGAGCCCUUAUGUGCCUACUCAUUCAUGCUUGUUUGUCAUGCAUGCUAUUGCUUAGAGUUGUGUCGGGUCUGUUUCAUCGGGGAUGAAUUGGGAAGUUGUGAACACGAUUUGGUAAAGGUAGCGGUGAGAGGCCAUGUAGGAGUACAUGGUGGGUUGUCUCAUUGUAGCCGUCCUCAGGAACUGAGUUCUGUGUUUGUGAUCCAUGAACAGCUACUACCAUGCAUUGGACCCGAAACCAAUGUACCCUCUCGGCUUCUUAACCACCCUUGUCCUCUGUCCAGGAGUUGCAAGUAGUUUCUGGUGUUUGUAGUAUGCUGGAGGCCGUGCGCAGCGCUGACUGCGAGGUGGGCUGUGAUGCGGUAGGCAUGUGGCACGGUGUACCGAGCACCCGUUUGGUGUCUCGGGAACCCUGCUCACAUCGUUCGGGGCCGUAUGUGGAAACUCGGCCGGACUCCCUGCGGAUGGAACCUGAAUAGGCAAUAAACCUAGACUAGAGACUUGAGUGUUUAGGUAGGCCGUGGCCGACACCGCUUGAAGGUUGCCGAGAUACAUGACGUGUACAUGGCGGUAAGUGGCGAGAGCGUGUGUGAAGAAGUACACCCCUGCAGGGUUAACAUCAUCUAUUCGAAUAGCCGUGUCUGCGGUAAAGGACUUCUGGGUUGCCUAUAACAGUUCAUAGACAAGUGAAAGUGGAUACUCUAAAAUGCGCAAGAUAAGCGUGAGUGCUAUGGAUGGCGUUCUCGUAGGGAGACGGGAGCAGAUCCAUAGUGGUGUAUUGAUAUGGUGAAUAUGUGGACUCGUGUGCGCCACCUCAAAAGAGUUACUUGCAGUCGUAGUUCAGGAUAGCCACUGAGUCAAAGCUGGCUUGCUGCAGUCAAACUCCACCACCCCUUUAUUGAUACCGAUGCAUAUGUAGCUAGUUCUGAUGUAAGUCUUGCUGGGUACAUUUGUACUCACGUUUGCCUAUUUUAUGUUUUGCAGAGAGACGUCAGUCUCGCUAGUAGUUCCGUGUGGACUUCGACGUUUAGCUUGAUACCUCAGCUACGAUCUUGUGCCCUCGGCAGGAUGUGGUAGAUAGUCAGGCUUCUCAGCCUUUUUCAUUUGUAGAUGUCUGUACUCAGACAUGUUAAGCUUCCGCAUGUGCUUUUACUUGUAUGCUCUGAAUGUUGGGUCAUGAUACCCAUGUUUGUAAUAUCUCGCUCCUCGGAGCCUAAUGAAUAAAUACUUGAGUCAUAGAGUUAUGUUGUGAUGCCAUGUUGUAUUUACACAUAUCGAGCAUAUUGUGUGUAUAAUUGAAAUGCUUGGUAUGUGUGGGAUCCGACAACCUAGUUGUUUAUCCUUGGUAGCCUCUCUUAUGGUGAAUGUAGUCUUGUGCUUCCAUGAGCCAUAGUAGUCCGCUACAGCCCGGUUCACCGGAGUCCUGCUAGCCCAGCACUACUGCUCCGGAACACUUGACUGGCCGGCAUGUGAUUCACUUCGUUCCUGUGUCUGUCCCUUCGGGGAAAUGUCACACGGUGACAUCCGGAGUCCUGCCUAGCCUGCUACAGCCCGGUUCAUCGGAGUCCUGCUAGCCCAGUGCUACAGCCCGGAUUCGCACGCUGCUGACCGACAUGCUCGUUGUUGAUUCAUGUAUGCCUGUCCCUGUAAGUUAGUGCCACUUUGGGUUCACGACUAGUCAUGUCGGCCCGGGUUCUCUGUCAUAUGGAUGCUAGCGACUCUAUCAUAUACGUGAGCCAAAAGGCGCAAACGGUCCCGGGCCAUGGUAAGGUGACACCCGUGGGAAUACCGUGCGUGAGGCAGCAAAGUGAUAUGAGGUGUUACCGGCUAGAUCGAUGUGACUUGGAAUCGGGGUCCUGAUAGUCUUUGGGGCAACUCUCCUCUUCUUCCUCUUCAUCCUCUUCUUCCGCACUAGCCUUCUUCAAAGCAAGGUUGGGCUUCUUUGAUCGUUGAUAACGCAACACCGCAUUAUCGAUGGUCUUGUCCAAGAUCCUCAUUGCAACAAACUCAUCCAACACUUCACUUGAGGACAAGGCAUGAAAGUCCGGCCUUUGACGGAUGACGGGGGACAUGGCCUUAUGGUAAGGCAUCAUGGCCUUGAGAAACUUGCGCUUGAUCCAAUUGUCAUCCGUAUCCUUGCUCCCAUUAUCUUGGAGUAAGACCGCGAGAGUGGUUAAUCUUCGGUAAAGCUCUCGAGGUUCUUCAUCUUCAGUCAUUGCAAACUCAUCAGCCUCAUCUUGCACCACUUCAAAGUUUGAGCGUUGAAUGCUUGCGCUUCCCUUGUACAAGGAAACAACAUGCUCCCAUGCUUCCUUGGCCAUGAUGAAAGGUCGGAGGUGCGCAAUAUCUUCAGGAGGAAUGGCUUCUUGGAGAAUGAAGAGCAGACUCGUUGAAUUGAUGAUCUGCGGCUUCUCUAGGAGUGAAGUUGCUUGGGUCGUGCGGGUAGAAACCUUGCUCAAUAAUUCUCCAAAGAUUAGUAGAACUAUGAUUUAAAUGACGUUUAAAGCGAUACACCCAAUAGGCAAAAUCCUCAUUUUUCACAAGCUUAGGAGGAGGACCAACAUGAUUCAUAUGCGUGGAGGGAACCGGUCCUCCAUAGGUAAGGGGUGGUUCAACAUGGGCAAUGAUGCCACUCCCACUUCUACCACUAGGCAAAGGAACUUGAUCACUACUAGCUUCCCCCUUUUUGGAGUUAGCAUCCGCCACCUUGUUAGUGGGAUCAACCACUUCCAACGGUGCGGUGGAUGAUUUAAGGUCUUCAAGAAACUCCUUAAACAUGACUUUAACCUCGGCCGUCAUGGAGGUUUUCAAUGUGUCCAAAGCUGCACUGAACUCCUCACGAGAGAUCGAGGAUCCCCCAUCGGCCGUAGACAAGGACAGACUCACACCGGGGUGCUCCCCCCUUGUCUACGGUGUCACCCAUACUCUUCGGACGGUAAAGUCCUUAAUAAAGAGACCAGGCUCUGAUACUAAUUGAAAGGAUCGAUAUGGUUGACUAGAGGAGGGGGUGAAUAGGCAACUAACAAUUUUUUGCUUUUCUUGACCAAAUUAAACUUAGCAUCAAAAUAGGUUGUCUAGAUGUGCAACUAGGUGAGCAACCUGUAUGAUGCAACAACAACAAACAUAGAAGCAAGCAAGGGAUACAACACAAUAAAAGCUUGCACAAGCAGGGGCGGAGCCUGAAAUUUUGGCCAUUGGGUUCACUCCAUGACUCAUUAUGAGAACUUAGUGCUAAUAUGUGAAAUGUAAAGUCUAAUUUUAAAUUAUCUUACAACAAAAUUAUAGCACCCAAAAACAGUAUAAUUAAAGAACACAUUCUGUUGCAUUUAAAAACUAAAGAAUGCAAGACAUAUGGGUUCACUAAAAUUAUAAAAUCACCUGCUUACAAAUUAUAAAUAGAGUAGUAUCGAAUAACUUUGUAGCUCUAGACGUAGCUCCUCGUCUUCCUGGCACAUUGAGAAAAUGACAAGUUAGUUUGAAAAAUUUAGAAUAAGUACUAUCAAGUGAAAGAAUCUUGUAAAGGCACUAACAUUUUAGAGUGACCCCUUUCGAUCCUUCAUCGCCUUAAAAAGAUUAAACGUUGCAUCAUUGUUAAUGGUAGAAAAUAUAUCUUUCUCCACAUCGCAAAGUAAACAUUAGAUUAAAUCUCCGUUGAGUAUCUCCAAUCUCCCUCUGUGGGCAAUCAAAAUUAGACGCUGUCCUGUAAGGUCCCCUCGCUAAAUUACGCCUAAUCUUGUCUUGCUUCUUUGAAUUUCUUCUGUGCUGUGUAAUUCUCUUCCAAUCAACCGAAUCAUAAGGCAACUCAUCUAAGAUAAUUUAUGUAUGAAUACUAGCGUUCGGAUGACUAGACAUUUGAUGGACUUAGCCUGCAUUUAACGGGUGACCUUGAUGUGCCUGUAUCAUUCUCUCAAUCUAGUGACCGAGUUUUCUUCAAAAUAAUACCACUCCAUUGCCUAGAUGAAUCAAAGUCCAUGAAAAACAAAUCAAAAAACUAGGGCAAAAAAUCACUAUCGCACUAGGCUAUUAAGCUAGAUAGAACAUACACAAAAGAGAGGAGAUGAGGCAAUGUAAUCUAAUUACCUUAAAUUUUAGGGUACAAUAUUGUUGUUGUCGAUCUGCCUGCGGCCGGCCGAGAGGCGGCGUCGCAGCAGGCACACGGAUAGACGAGAGGAGAGAUGCGAAUUGGAAAAGGAAAAGACGACGAGGCGUGCGGCCACAUAUGUGACUAAUCACGGUGAUUAAUUACGGCAGGACUCCUCGUGGGCUGUUCAUUUUUUGGGCCCUUUGUUUACUCGCUCACGUCACAACCUUUCGUUGAUGGGUUUAGUCACAAUUUUUUAAUGGGUUCAUGCCAAGUAAAUAUGCACCUGCAUGCACGUAAAUAGCAUAAUCCGCUGGGUUCAGUUGAACCCCACGCUUGUACGUUGGCUCCGCCGCUGUGCACAAGUAAAAGUAAGAGAUAACCAAGAGUGGAGCCGGUGGAGAUGAGGAUGUGUUACCGAAGUUCCUUCCCUUUGAGAGGAAGUGCGUCUCCGUUGGAGCGGUGUGGAGGCACAAUGCUCCCCAAGAAGCCACUAGGGCCACCGUAUUCUCCUCACGCCCUCACACAAUGCGAGAUGCCGUGAUUCCACUAUUGGUGCCCUUGAAGGCGGCGACCGAACCUUUACAAACAAGGUUGAGGCUAUCUCCACAACUUAAUUGGAGGCUCCCAACGACACCACGAAGCUUCACCACAAUGGAAUAUGGCUUCGCGGUGACCUCACCCAAGAGUAACAAGAUCCGCAAGGGAUUAGUGGGGGAAUCAAAUUUCUCUUGGUGGAAGUGUAGAUCGGGGCCUUCUUAACCAAUCCCUAGAAAAUCAAUAAGUUUGAUUGGCUAGGGAGAGAGAUCGGGUGAAAAUGGAGGUUUGAGCAACAAUGGAGUUUGGGGAGGGAAGAGGUGGUCUUCUUGGGGAAGAUGACCCCCUUUAUAUAGUGGGGGAAAAGAUCCAACCGUUAUCCCCUCACUCAGCCCGCGCGGCGCGGUACUACUGCACACAGUCGCGGUACUACCGCAAAGGGUUGCGGUACUACCGCUGCAGGGUGCGGUACUACCGCUUGCACAAUAGUGACCAGACGAGGGCCUGUUGCACAGGGCAACACGCGGUAGAACCGCCGGAGCGGUACUACCGCGCGCCCCUACGGUACUACCGUAAGGCAGGGCUCAACUGGCGCUGGAAAUGCACGGAAGUAAUAAAUUACCUCCGUAACUACUUCCGCUGAGUUUGGAGCUGUACAAAAAUCCGGCAUGGUACUACCGCUCACAGGGAGCGGUACUACCGCGUAAGGGCGGAAGUAAAAAAUUAUAUCCGCACCUACUACUGCGUGCGUCAGCAUCAGAGCUGGAGGCAGCGGUACUACCGCUCACCAAGAGCGGUACUACUGCUCCCUUGAGCAGUACUAUCGCACGCCACAAACGCUUUAGCAUUUGGCAGCCUUCAUAUCGCAGAGACAUGGAUAAACGGACGGUGCUCCAUCGAAGCGAAGGAAAGACGGUGCAAAGGAACAGAUGUGUACGUGUUGAUUCCACCCUAACUUUUUCGAAGCGGACAUCCUCUUAAUAGUACGUCUUUCCUACGACUCAAAUCCACCGAAAAGAAGCGUGGAGAACAACCGUCUUCGAUAGGCUCCGAGGGCACCGAAUCGUCUUGUGCCUAGACAUGAGAUAUCUGAAAUGCUCAAUGCACACGAUUAGUCCGCAAAUGCAUUAUCACCAAUCACCAAAACCACUUAGGAAGAAAUAUGCCCUUACAAACAAUUUAUAUGAAAUACCGAUAACAUAACAAUGAAGACAUCUCUUUGUAAAUCAUAAAGUUGGGUCUAUCUAACUCCAUUGUUAGCAUGAAAACGGUGUUCUCAUGUAUUGUUAGCAUCCUUGUUACACUCACAAUGCUCAUUAUCAGGAAAACAAGAUCAUCAUCAUACAUGAGCUAGUCAUAGAGGCUAGACCAGGGAUCAAUUGAUAUUUAUAUUAUCACACAUGUAUUUGAGUAUUACUCUGAAUCUCAUAUUCAAGAACCAAUACAACUGUAGCACAAAAACAUAAACUUAAUAAUGAACAUGAAAAAUAUAAUAAUAUAUGUAUUAUUGCAUGUAGGGCAUAUUUUCAACAACGUAUCGCCGGAGCACGGUACAUAUAGCCGCUGCGAGGCGAGGCGAACAAACGACCAGUCCAAUUCAAUGCAGCACAACGACCAAAGUAGGUUCUUGGGACGACACGUCCGCAUUGAAGCGGCGAUGCCCGUCUGAUCGCGUUGGUCAGCGCCGCCCUCCCGUCCGGUCACAUCACGCGGCAUCAGUGUCAAGCGCUCUAGGCCGACAUGAAUGCGGCGUGGGAAGCGACGCGUCCAUUGGCAAGAAAGCACGGGAAAGCAUUCUGGGUGGGGUCAGGUUGUCAUACGUGUGUGUGAAAGUGGUCUGGACAUCCGCAAAGCCCCUCUGGUUUGCUUCCGGUUUACGAGAAAAAGGAUGCCCGGCCGGUCCGCGGACGGAUGUGAGACCGUAUUGGAUGGCAAAACAUGUCCGGACCGCGUGGUCCAGACGAAUGCGGAGGUUCGAGGGUCCAUGUUGGAGAUGCCCUUAAACUCUUCAUUAAAACAAUGAAAACCAGUAUUUUUUUGAAAAUAACCCCACUUCAACCCAUUGACUCUAUGUAAUUAUUUUAUUUGGCUUUAUUAUCGACUGUUACCACUAUAAAAUUCGUUAAACAUAAUCUCAUCUCUUUGGAUUUUGACUUCCCAUUUAUUAUAUUUUACUAUACAUGCUCACAUCACAAAAUGCUUGAUUUCCACAAAUUAUAGUAAGAGAACCCCCUCCCUCCCCCCACCCCACACACUUUUAGGAGGAAGUUCCCACUUUUUUUUAUUUUGCUAACCACGUGUCCCGGUCCCACUUUCAAUCCUUCUUUCAUCCGGUUGAUAUUCUUGUGAAGAACAACACAUGGUUACCACCUCCGUCAAGAUGGCCUCUAACAAAAACCAACGGCUCUUUGCUAGCUCGGGUGACAACGUGGAACAAGAGAAGAUGCAUGACGACUUAAGAUGCCUAGGGGAGCAGUGUUGAAAGAGGUCCUUUUUCAUGGGCACACUCGUGCAUGUGCAGUCUGCACACGUAGCAACUCAAUGUAUUUUUCUUUUGCAAAUGAACUCGAUGAAAAUUCAAAAAAGAAAAGAAAUGGAGCACAGAGAACAAUGGUCGAAAAACUAACGAUACAUGAGACACGGGGAAUAGCAAGAAAAUGCUGUCGAUUGUAAACGGGAAAUCAUACUCCCAUCAAAAUUUCGUUCUUUUCAGGGGCGGGACAUGACGCGAGCCUCGAGAGAAAAGAAAAACAGGUCUGGUCGAACGCGUGCCGUUUCUCGGUCGUUGGUUCGUGUACCCCGGCCCGAGUCCCUCGGCGCAGGCACACUCGCUCACGCACGCACGCACACGGCACGAGCUUCAGCUCACGCCGAGGCAGUCGCGCACACACCAACCAAGCACUAGUCAGCAACGCAGCCCACCCAAGUUGACAAACGUCACUCCCUUGUCUCCCCCACCCAGCAGCUCCCGUCUCCCCCUCUCGCUCUCGCUCACGCUCACGACACAGGUCCGCACAGCCGCACGGAGACGAAUCGAAUCGAAGCCCGAGCGGAGGACAGGCGAGGCCGUACCUAGGGUUUCGCUCGCCGGCGAGGAUCCCGACGCAGCGCCGCCGGAGGCGGCGCCUCCGCUGAGGUAACCGCCCCUCUGUUCCGGGCACCCUCCACGCCGCUGGGUCUAGUCGAGCUCAAGCUAGGGUUUCCGCGACGGAAUUCCGGGGGGUUUUCGGCGGGGUUCGCCGGAUCUGGAGGGGCUCGGGGGGCCGAUUGGGAGCGCUCCUCGCGGGAAUUGCGGGCUCCGGAGGCGCCGCAUUGGCGGGGGUUGGUGGGGGGUGGAAUUGGGGACGCUUCCUGCGCGUAGUGCUUGUGGCGUACGCCACGGGAUUCCACUUUCCGGGGAGCUUGUAUGCAUGUACGAGGCGAAUGUUGAAGGUUUUACAUAGGGGUUUUGGGUUGCGGUGGCUGCUCUACCUCUCCCCGGAGGGAGCCUGGAGUGAUGCCGCCUGCUUAGGAGCUUAGGAGCACCGCGUUGCUGCAUGUGAUGCUUUAGUUGCCGUCUGGAGUGGUGUUGAUUUGGUGGCCAUUUGGGGGACUUUGUAGCAAAUGACUUGGUUAAAUUUAGUUGUCUCUACAGCCUAGACACACUGGGUAUAGACAUUAGGCUGGUACUGCUUCAGAUAUAGCGUGGAUAAGGUGAUCCGGGCAACGGUUGGAUUUGGCGCGUUUUGUAUGUAUCUUUGAAUUUGCGAGACGUAUCUCUUUCCAUUUUUGCUUGCCGGGCAACGGUUGGAUUUGGCGCCUACAUGACUGAUGUGUUAAAAGAUAUUAAUAUCCCGAAUAUUCGGUGUAGCUUAGUUCUUGGUGAUUUAGGCUAAGCCUCUGAUUUUGGUAAUUCUGCAUUAAUGAGUAAUUUUUGGUUGGACUGCUGAACUGGAUGUGCUUCAAUACAUUUUAGAAGCGAAUUUCCGUUGGGGUCAAUUAGAAGAUUCACUGUAGUGAUCAAAUGUAGUACGCGAUGUUAAUGGGUUAACUCCAGUUCAUUGAUUGGACUUCACUGAUAGGCAGCAAUUGGUCCUGUGAUACUGUAUUUGUUAUGUUUGAUGGAAUUGGGAUUACUUUAGGUGAUGACGUUACUACUGGUCCUAGCGCUAUUUUUAUUUUAUUGAAUUUUUGGCACUAUUCUCACGGAUCUAGACUUAGUCUUCACCCGAUUGGAGUCGGACAAGUGAGCUGUCCUACUAAUCGUCGGGAUUUUCAUUGGUUCAUAAUGGUGCUGCUUAAGGGGCAAUCAUUUAUUGGAUGUGCGCUACCGUUUCGCUUUUCUAGCUGUCACAUAACGGACUCCUUAAAAUGAUGUUGAAAUAUUAUUUUCCGUUCUUGAUGCUUUUCUGGUUUACUAAUGAAAUCCUGAAGUCAUGUCGAUAUUGUGACUUUGAGGCUGCGAUGGUAUUGUUUGGUAUUCCUACAUAUGCAUCACCUUGUCUCUAUGUGAAGUUGUGCUAGCGUAGGGCAGCAUGGUGAGACAAAAUUUAUUCUAUGGGCUGUGAUUGAAUACACUUGAGUGACGUGUAGUAAACACUAAACCUGUAUACUCGAGUGACAUGUAGUUAUUUUUGGCAUUGUAAUUUCUAAUUAUUGGAUUUAUCAUGUUCUACUUGUUUGGCAGGUUUCUUCGGGCUUGUACCCAUGCUUUCAGCUUUCAGAAGGUGAUUGUAGAGGGGGAGGAUGGAAGAGGAGGAACAUCGUGGAGUUGUUCUGGUAUGCAGCGUCUGUGGGUUCCUCUUCGCUGUCCUUGGCCCACUCAGCUUUUGGAUUCUAUGGGCUGUGAAUUGGAGGCCAUGGAGGUUAUAUAGGUAUGCUGGUGAUUGAAUAUACUUUUUUGCGAGGAUUAUGCUUUUAUUUGCAUGUAUCAUUUGUUUGGUUCUUACUUGGGAUUAACUAAUAACCUGCUAUGUUAAAUUCGUUGUUUGUGCGCUCUAUUUUUUCCUAUUCAAAUUCCAUGCAUUUUAUCUUUGUGUACCAUUGAAUGUUGCCAUUGAUAUAAAGCUUGACGCACCAGUCUAAUCACAUGCAUCAUACGCAAAGUAGCCCCCCGGCCCUCUCCCCAAUUAUUCUUUACCUCACUGUGAUAUUUCUAAUGUUUUUACGAGUAUCCAGCUAGUAGUUUGGUUGUUACAUUUGCAGAUAUUUCACUCAAUAAGAAUCAUUUUUAUCCUAUUGAUAUCAAGACAGCAAAGUAGGUAGGUUUGGUAUCAGUAACACACUAGCGCAUGAAACUAUUCUUGCAAUUCUAUUAUAUUUCCAUUCUAGCUUCAUACUUUCUGAUUACUUAAAGCCUGCUGUCCAUGCAUGGAGUAGUGUUUUUUUCUUUCUGAUCCUGUGUUUGUGGCAAGUAGCGGAUGGGCAAAUAUGCAUCCUUAUUUAGGCUCAUUGUGUUCACAGUGCAUUGACUUCUGGUUUCACUUGUUUGGCUUUCCUAGUUAGGUGUUAAUCUUUUUCAUCCUAUUUUCUUAUUCAGCUGGAUAUACGCAAGGAAAUGGCCAGCCUAUGCGCAAGGACCUCAGCUAAGCACACUCUGCAGCUUUUUGACCCUUUUUGCAUGGCUUGUCGUCAUUUCCCCUAUAGCCGUUCUGCUAGUGUGGGGAAGCAUCCUUAUUGCUCUUAUGGAAAGGAACAUAACUGGUUUAGCUGUUAUAAUGGUUGGCGUUGCUUUGCUUCUAUCAUUCUACUCUAUAAUGCUCUGGUGGAGAACACAAUGGCAAAGCUCAAGUAUGUUUUCAAUCCUUUGUGUUGAUUUUAUAAAUUGGCAUUUCUUCCAGAAUUUUUGCCCAUGUAGUUCUCAUUCCUUUUCCAAACGUCAUCAUGCUUGAGUACGGUUGCUCCUGAAAUGCAUUGGAUUUUUGGUGGGCGUUAUAAUUAUCUCUCUAGAACAUGAAUAAACCCUCUGUCUUCUGGCUAUAAAUAAACACUCAAUUCUUUUUAGACACUGAUAAUAAUUCAAUGUUACUUGCCCCCCAUAUAUUUGCCAUGACAUGGCGUUUUGUACUUCUGUAUCCAAUUUGCAUGGUGUUUGGUCCCGACAUCUAGCAUUCUACCCACAAUAAUUGGCCAUACAACCGUGAUUAUUUCAUGUCAAAAUUUCUUCCAGAAGGACCUGACUAGUCACAUUAGAAAAUAAAGAUACUAUGGGAAUUAUUUCAAAACAUGUUUGACAUAAAAGUUUUUAGAUCAUCACAACCAAAGUGUGGCUAAAUCACUUUCGUAGCUAACCACAUUGUGCCUAAGCUAAGUUAGCCGUGAACCAAACGGGCGGCUUGCAUAAAGAGAAGUUCUAAAUCCCUGUGGACCGUGGAGGUUCAAAAUGUUAUCAGCCGUCUCAUCUAAAAAAGUUGCAGCAGUACUUGUUCCAGGAUUUCUUCACUUUGUUUUGUAUUAGAUGUUUCUGCUAUUGGGUCAAUACUAUCUUUUUGUCCUUUAGUGAGCUGAGACACUGUUUUCUUUUCGCUUGAUCUAUUAAAGAUAUUAACAAAUGGAAAUCCCUGUGGGCUGUGGAGGUUCAAAAUGUUAUCGGCCGUUUCAUCUAAAAAUUGUUCCAUCAUUUCUUCACUUUGUUUUGUAUUAGUUGUUUCUACUAUCGGGUCAAUCAACUAUCUGUUUGUCCUUUAGUGAGCUUUUUGGUUGAUCUGUUAACAAUAUUAACAUAUGGAUUGUUUGUUGCAGAGGCUGUUGCUUAUCUUCUCCUCUUGGCAGUAGGUCUGCUGUGUGCCUAUGAAUUUUGUGCUGUUUAUGUCACAGCCGGUGCUAGUGCUACUGAGAUCAAUUCUCCAUCUGGAUUCUUCUUUGGAUUAUCUGCAAUAUCAUUGGCCAUCAAUAUGCUCUUUAUAUGUAAAAUACUGUUUAAUGGUAAAGCCACUCUUCUCUCAGCUUAGUUGAGCCUUAUCUUAAUAUAAAAAUUUAUGAAACUUUUGAAAUUCCAUACAUAUUAUCUGCAGGAAGUGGAUUCGAUGUUGAUGAAUACGUCCGGAGGUCGUACAAGUUUGCAUAUUCUGAUUGUGUUGAAGUGGCCCCUGUCUCAUGCUCCCCUGACCCCCCGGAUCCUAGUGAGUUAUACAUGACAAAAUCCAGCAGGUGAGUCCAGCAUUUUAUAUUCUCAAAAUAUCUUUUACUAACUUAACUAAACUGCGGUAUACCAGCUUCAGUAAGUUUUAUGAUGUUCACUUGGCUAAUCUAUUUUUCUUUCAAAUUUACUAAGAUGAUGAGUUAAAAAUGCAGGGUGUUGCAUCUAGGGCUUCUCUACCUUUGCUCCCUGGUUGUGCUUGUUGUCUAUUCCAUCUUGUAUGGUGUGACAUCAAAAGAAGCACGUUGGUUGGGCGCUUUAACUUCAGUUGCUGUAGUGAUUCUUGGUAAUGCUUUUUCUGUGGACUAUCGAUUGUUUGUGCUCUGUAUCUGUUUCUUUGACAUCCUGGUUUUCUGUUGUACAGACUGGAAUUUGGGCUUGUGUUCAUUCAGGUUUGAGCUUCUUAAAAGUCGGACGCUAGCGUUAUUUGUGGCUGGAACAUCGCGCGUUUUUCUCAUAUGCUUUGGGGUUCAUUACUGGUUUGUAUUCAUCUUUGUGCUUCUUUAGUUGAUCAUAUUUAAGUCCUAGUACUUCUUCCUACUUACUGACUAAGGUAUUAAAUUAGGUACCUUGGACAUUGCAUUAGCUAUGCUUUUGUGGCAUCUGUUCUUUUAGCUGCUGCUGUCUCUGGCUGGCUUUCUAUUUCCAACCCCUCAGUUGCAAGGAUUGAUGCACUAAGAAGUACAGUUAUAAAGCUGCGAGAAGGAUUUCGAAGAAAAGGACAAAAUAGUUCUUCAAAUUCAUCAGAAGGUUGCGGAUCUAGUGUGAAGCGUAGUAGUGGUAGUGUUGAAGCAUGUCAACAUGGUAACACUACCGAUUCUAUUUACAGAAGUAAUUCACAGAGUGAUGGGGUCCAUUGGAAUAGUGUUCCUUUUGAUCGAUCCAACAGUUGUCAAGAAGGCAGAAGCUCUGACAAGAACAUAGAUAGUGGACGUGCAAGUUUAGCACAUCGCAGUAAUUCGUGCCUUUCUGCUGUCCAAGACUCUGAAACUGCGAUCAUUUCUGCAGAUAGACAUGGGGAUACCACUGCUUCACUUGUUGUUUGUUCUAGCAGCGGUUUGGAAAGUCAAUGCUGCGGGUCUAGUGGAUCAGCCACUGCCUCGGGUAAUCAGCAACUGUUGGAUUCGAGCUUAGCUGCAAUUUUUCAAGACAGGCUGAAUGACCCAAAGAUCACAUCUAUGCUAAAAAGGAAUGGUGGACUUGGAGAUGUGGAACUGGCUAAUCUUCUACAUGAUAAAGGCCUGGAUCCUAAUUUUUCUUACAUGUUGAAAGAUAAGGUUAUGGAUCCACGGAUUUUAGCUUUGCUACAGAGAAGCAGCCUAGAUGCAGACCGGGAACAUCAAGAUGAUGCAGAUGCUACUGCUACUGAGGAAUUGGAUACGACUAUUGCAAACCAGAUCUCUUUGUCAGAAGAACUCAGGAGAAACGGGCUAGAAAAUUGGCUGAACAUUUCAAGACUGAUUUUUCAUCAAGUGGCUGGUACUCCAAUACGGUCCUUUGUUGUAUUUACCCUAAUAUUUAUUGUAGAGACAGUUACUGUUGCUGUCCAUCGACCAGAGCCCAUCAAGGUGAUAAAUGCAAUACAUGAACAGGUAAUAUUUGUCGCAGAAGCACUAUAGCAGCUUUGAAAGAUUGAUUUAACAUUGAUAAAAAAUGUGAUAGUUUCCCCCCCUUUAUUUGGCAGUUUGAGUUUGGUUUCUCCAUACUGCUUUUAUCACCAGUCGUCUGUUCCAUCAUGGCAUUCACAUGGUCCCUGCAUGCGGAAGAGAUGAUGAUGACAUCCAAACCACAGAAGGUGAUUAGUGAUAUACAACAAGAGAACUUUUCAUUCUUUAGUACCAAUUAUCAUGCCAUGUCAGAUUAUAACCGUCAUACUAAUACGAGGUUCUUAUCACCAUAUCAGAACAAGUACUUUGUACUAUUUCUGUUUUAAAACUUACCAUGAGCCAGAUGCUAUGUAAUGCAAAAGGAAUAUGAUGCUAGAGGCAAAUUGAAAUGCUGUGCAAGAAUUUUAGCAAUACAUGUGCGUGCCUCUGGAUAACUCUGGGUAUCUUUACUAGACAUGCUUUAGUGCAUCAAACUCUCUUAUGUAAAGGCCAUCUGUGCUUAUCUUUCGAAAACAAAUAAAUAUGUGCUCACAUUGCACUGAGUAUGCUGGGUCUGUCCUUUUAUUGCACUGAGUAUGCCGUUAUGUUGCUUAAUUUUACUUGAAAUGCAACUUCAUUCUCAGCUAUAAUGACUUGCCAUUGUUUUCCACAUCUUCAGUAUGGCUUCAUCGCGUGGCUGCUGAGUACAUGUGUUGGCUUACUUCUCUCUUUCUUGAGGUACACUCACUGCUUAAUAUCUGAAAUAUCAGUAACUAUUAUAAUUUUAACCAUAUGCAAUACUGCUAAUUAAUUUCUGUGCCUGUUUAUUUUCACUUAAGACUAAAUAUUUUCAGUAUAAAAUGAUAAUAUGAACAUCAUGCUAGUCAUAACCAUUUGUUCCACAUAUGGUUUUAAGGGCACUUUAUUAUUUAUAUACGUUUCAUACAUCAUUUCUUCAAAUGGCUUCUUCUGUACAAGAGGAUCAUUUGUGUAUGUGAUUUCUCUUAAAGAAACUUAUGGCUCUUUAUACUUGCGGAAGGGAUUAGUGUAUACUAGAAAUCCUGAGUGCGCCAUCCUCAGUUGGCAAGUGACGUGACCUAUGUCUAUUAGUUGUGUUACAUGCAUGUUUCACUUUAGGUGGCAUGAGGUGAUGAUACAUGCUCAAAAAUAGAUCUCCACUUUGUUUCUAUGUAUAUCAAUUUACAUCCGGUUCUACUAUGAGGUGCUUUAUCCUGUAGGAUGUUAGAGAAAUACAGAUCCGAAUUUUCGCGCUCCAGUUAUCCAGUGAGCUAAGAUAUAAUGCAAUAAAACAUGAUUCAAGCAAGUACAAUAAUUAUACGGGAUUAAGCAUUAGGCUAGCACACAGACACCCUUAACAAAGUCUAAUGGUGGUGUCACUGCUGAAGGUUUUCUAUUGUUUGUCAGUUUGUCUUAGGAUGAGCUUCAUUAUGUGAUUGAUUAACUAAAUUUAUUUUGGGUGCAAUGUGCAAGACUAAAGCUUUAGGUUGACUGCUAUAUUUUAGCUGGGUAAUGAUGAUGGCUUGACAUAUUCAAAAUCCGCUGUCUAUAGUCAAAACCUGUCUUACACAUAGACUCUGUGGCAGCUAGAUAUCUUCAAUGAGAAAUUCCUAUUUUCAUUGGUGAAAUGUAUCCUUUUUUGGUUCUGAAUGUUACCUAUGCUAUUCUGCAGCAAGUCAUCAGUUAUAUUGGGUUUGUCUCUCACGGUCCCACUUAUGGUGGCUUGCCUCUCAUUUGCUAUUCCUAUAUGGAUGCGUAAUGGUUAUCGUUUCUGGAUUCCGGGAGGGGAACUUGAUAAUCGUGAAAAUAUUCGUCAAUCUCCAGGGAAGAAAGAGGUUUGUUUCUCGUAUCUUCUUAAAAUUUAGCAAUGGGUAUUAUUUAUAUAUGUGCUAACCAACAUGCAACGUUCAUCUAUCUAAGCUCUUUGCAUACCUGUACUUAUAGUGUAUGCCACACCCUGACCCAGCUUCGUGUUAUGUCCUGAGCUGUAGUUUUAUUGCAUGCAACAUGUUCUGCAGUAUAUAUAUCCAAACAUGAACAAUUUUUUGUCCUAUUUUACAGUAUUACUCCCUCUGUAUCAUAUUAAUUGUCGCUCAAACGGAUGUAUCUAGCACUGAAAUGCAUCUAGAUACAUCCAUUUCAGCGGCAACUAAUAUGGGACGGAGGGAGUAUUAUUAUUCUAGAUACCUUCCAGUCCAACAAUGGUAUUUGAAAUUAUGUUCAUGUUGCUCAUUAUUAGUCUUUUGUUGUCAGGGGACUCUCUUCGCAAUCAGCAUAGUUGUUUUCAUUGCAUCAGUUAUUGGCCUUGGUGCAAUAGUAUCAGCGAAACCUUUAGAUGCUUUGGGCUACAGAGGAUGGGACGCUGAUAAAAAGAGUUUUUACUCUCCCUAUGCAACAUCUAUGUAUCUUGGAUGGGCAUUAUCUUCCACAAUUGCGGUGCUUGUUACUGGGGUGAUACCUAUUGUUGCUUGGUUCGCCACAUACCGAUUUUCGCCUUCAUCGGCCAUAUGUGUUGGCCUUUUCGCAAGUAUGUCGUACUUGAUCUUUUCUCAAUUUGAUAUUGAAGCUGAUGCUUUCAGAUAUAACUGACUCCUGAGUUGUUACUUUUUGUAGCUGUUCUUGUAUCCUUCUGCGGUGCAUCCUAUUGGGGAGUUGUAAAUUCACGUGAGGACGGGAUUCCUCUUAAGGCUGAUUUCCUGGCAGCACUACUCCCCUUACUUUGCAUUCCUGCAAUGUUUGCUCUGUUCACUGGGCUGUAUAAAUGGUAUAAAGUCCACCUGUAGCAUUUUCAUUUCUACUCAUAUUUUUGUUGUGCUGAGAUGAAACGCACAAAAUUGCAGGAAGGAUGAUGAUUGGAAGAUCUCCCGAGGAGUUUACCUUUUCGUCGGCAUGGGAAUGUUGCUAUUGCUUGGUGCUAUAGCAGCAAUUAUUGUCACAAUUAGACCUUGGACUGUAAGUUAACCUAAAUCAUGGAGAAAUCUUCAUAUACAUGUUUAAUUCAUCUGUGUAUAAGUUAUAACGGAGUAUAAUUGACAUGCCAUCUUUAUACAGGUCGGAGUCGCAUGCCUCCUAGUUAUCCUGUUCCUCGUAUUUGCUAUUGGGGUCAUUCACUACUGGAAAUCUAAUAACUUCUAUUUAACAAGAACACAGAUGCUACUUGUCCGUUCCCUUGCUUUUCUCCUCGUGCUGGCUGCCUUCCUUAUGGGUCUGUUUCAGGGUGAGUACAGGUUCUCCCUUCGCUGUCUUCCAUUCUGCUUUCACUAGUUUAGCGGUUUGGUGCACUGUACUACUGUCAUCAUUUCAUAUUAAAUGUGAAUAUCUUUUACAGGCAAACCUUUUCUUGGAGCAUCUAUUGGUUAUUUCUCAUUUCUGUUUCUUCUCACUGGAAGGGCUUUGACUGUAAGUUUGAUUUAUGUUACUUACUUGCAUAACUAUUAGCCAUCAGAUGCUAGUUUUGAUGUUUGCUGAUCAUCUCGUAACACUGAAUGAAUAUAACCUUCUCAGGUCCUUCUAUCUCCACCAAUUGUUGUUUAUUCACCACGGGUAUUACCCGUAUAUGUUUAUGAUGCUCAUGCAGACUCUGCCAAAAAUGUUAGGUAUGGCAAACAACCUUCAUACCAUAACCUUCUGAGAUGAACCUAAUCUUUCUUAUGUUCAGUAUUGAUCAUAAUUUAUUUUUGUUUCUGUUGUGUCCUAUCCUAUAAGUGCUGUUGUCAUCUGAUAAAAUACCCUAACACCACUCUCUUUACAGUUACGCCUUCCUUAUCUUGUAUGGGAUUGCAUUGGCAACUGAAGUUUGGGGUGUUAUCGCCAGUCAAAUAAUGAAUCCACCGUUUGUUGGGGCUGCUAUUUGUGCUAGCACUCUUGUAAUUGCCUUCAGUUUCGCUGUUUCUCGUCCAUGCCUAACUCUUAAGGUUGGUACUUUUGUACAGUAUAAGCAAACACUGAACAUUCUUUGUUUUUGUCCUUUUUUCAUCUGUCCAUGUAAUAAUCUCUAUGAAACUUGAAUCAGAUGAUGGAGGAUGCCAUUCAUUUUCUCAGCAAGGACACAGUUAUUCAAGCAAUGUCACGGUCUGCUAACAAAGUAAGUCGAUUUAUAUCCUACUAUGAAGAUGCUACUUAACAAACUACUGAUUUGAAAACUGGUCAAUAUAGCAAUUUUUUUUCUGCAUACCACUGUUAAGCCUGUCUGAACCAUCAUUUCCACUUUCUUUUCGUUAACAACAUUUGUUGAGAACUAUCACCAAAUUUGUGCCUAGAUAGUGUGUAUUCUAUCCCGUUGCAUACCUUUCCUACCCGCGAACUUUCAGAAGUACAUAAAUGUUACCGAGAUGGCAUCCUUUUGUAAUUACGUGCCAAUAGUUCUUCCGAAGUAGGCAUGGUUAUCUAUCAGCUGUCAGUCUAGAUGAGAAUCUUGUUAGUGAGUCCACCAAUUUCCAGGAUAUGCACAUAACAAUAAGAGCACCAUAUAACAAUAUAAUAUUGUUGUUACUGUAUCAUUGACCAUAUGUUCUUUGUACAACUCAGACAAGAAAUGCUAUAUCCGGGACUUACUCAGCACCUCAGAGGUCCGCAAGUUCUGCUGCUCUUUUGGUGGGAGAUCCUGCUGUUACUCUGGAUAGGGCUGGGAACUUUGUGCUUCCUAGAGCUGAUGUUAUGAAACUGAGGGAUCGUUUGAGAAAUGAAGAAGUCACUACAGGAUCUUUCUUUUGUGGAGUAAAAAAUUGUUUCAUGGUUUGCCCUGGAUCCCCAGCAGACGUUGAUUAUCGGAGGAAUAUGUGUGCCCAUGCACGCAUCUUGGCUUUGGAAGAGGCAAUUGAUACUGAAUGGGUUUAUAUGUGGGACAAAUUUGGUGGUUAUUUGCUUCUGUUGCUUGGAUUGACUGCCAAAGCUGAACAAAUACAGGUAAACUCAAUAUUUUCUGCCAUUCUUGUCUCUCCCUAAUUCAUGAGCAUUUUUAAUGCUGUAUAUUUCUGUUUGUUUCAGGAUGAAGUUCGUCUUAGGCUAUUUUUGGACAGCAUAGGCCUUUCUGACUUAAGUGCUAAAGAAAUUAAGAAAUGGAUGCCUGAAGAUCGAAGGCAAUUUGAACUUAUUCAAGAAAGGUAAUAAGUGAUAUUUUUACAUGAUACCAUAGUUAUAUGUAGGGCUCCCUGGAAGUCAUGAGCUCAUCAUCAAAAUUUUGCUUUUAUUUGUGUCUGCAGCUACAUAAGGGAGAAAGAAAUGGAAGAGGAGGUCUUGAUGCAAAGGCGAGAGGAAGAAGGGAAGGGAAGGGAAAGAAGGAAGGCAUUGUUGGAGAAGGAGGAACGCAAAUGGAAGGAGCUCGAAAUAUCAUUGCUGUCUUCUAUACCUAAUGCUGGAAGCAGGGAUGCUGCGGCUAUGGCGGCAGCUGUCAGAGCUGUGGGAGGUGAUUCUGCUCUGGAAGACUCUUUUGCCAGGGACAGAGUCUCGUCAAUAGCCCUUCACAUACGAAAAGCACAAUUGGCACGACGAGCAGAGCAGGUGCUAUUCCCAUUAUACUUAUAUUUAUUUUUUAUGGUGCUAUACGCAAAAUAUGUACUUUUUGGGUGCACAAUUGCGGAGAGCCAUCCUUUGUGAGUUUAUUGAAUGUUUCGUGGUUCACCUUGAACUGGUAACCUGACAACACAACAGUUUAAUGACUUCAUGAUAAAAAAUAGCAUCUUUAAAUAAAUUAUAUAGCACAUGCUACAUGCACAUUUCCUUUAGUUACAGUUCCUGCUGAUACUACCUAGAUACCCUAUACUGUUGUGAACUGUUGAAUAGACUAGCAUUCCUGUUCUUGCUGAUACUAUUUAGAUAUCUGACAUUGUUAUGAACUGGUGAACAGACUAGCAUUCCAGGUGCUGUAUGUGUACUUGAUGAUGAACCAAGGAGUACCGGACGCCAUUGUGGAGAAAUUGACCUGUGUCUUUGUCAAAGUCAAAGAGUGAGCUUCUCCAUUGCAGUAAUGGUUCAACCGGUAUCUGGUCCAGUCUGUCUUUUCGGAACCGAAUUUGAGAAGAAGGUUUGCUGGGAAAUCUUGGUGGCAGGGUCAGAACAGGGAAUGGAAGCGGGGCAGGUUGGUCUUAGAUUAGUAACUAAGGGUGAAAGGAUGACCACUGUUGCUAAAGAGUGGAAUAUUGGUGCGUCAAGUAUUGCAGAUGGCAGGUAUGAACUUUCACCACUUUUAUAUUUUGUGUGGAAACAAAAGAAAAUCAAAAGCAGCUAACCUGUUCAACUUUUCCUUGCCACUGCAGUGACCGCAAGCAUUUACUGUCUGUUACAGACUUACCGUGUUGUUUUUCUGUGGGGUUCCACCUUUUCUUCUACUAGUAUCUGUAUAGAAAGAAUGUAAAUCUUAACAUCUGUGGUUCAGACCAGACCUGUUAACUCCUGCUACAUUAUUAGUGGUUUUCCCCUAUAUAGUGUUGCUUUAGUUGUAAUGUUUUCAAUGAAUAAGUAGGCGGUAGUUCCACUGAAAAAUCUUUUGAUGCAGAUUUAGUUUCCUCUACUUUCUUUUACUAGUUGUCUCAUAGUCGCCGAUUUGAUUUUGCAGGUGGCAUAUCGUCACAGUGACUAUAGAUGCUGACCUAGGUGAAGCAACUUCUUUCAUAGAUGGAGUUUAUGAUGGAUAUCAGAAUGGAUUACCGUUGCCUAGAAACAACGGCGUAUGGGAACCUGGGGCAGAUAUUUGGGUUGGUGCGCGGCCACCCACAGACUUGGAUGCCUUUGGUAGGUCAGACAGUGAAGGUACAGACUCAAAGAUGCAGAUAAUGGAUGCUUUCUUAUGGGGAAGGUGUCUGACUGAAGAUGAGAUUGCUGCGCUAUAUACAACCAUGAGUCCUGCGGAGUAUGGCUUUUUUGACCUUGCAGCUGAAGAUGCUUGGCAUGGAAGCUAUUCUGCUAGGGUAUAUUCUAGUUUCUAAUUCUUUAUUUGUACCCUUUUGUAAUGUCAUGAUUUUGAAGGUAAUAUGAAAUUACAAAUGACAUUUUCUUAAAUUUACUGUAUUUUCAUUCAGGUGGAUGACUGGGAGAGUGAAGAAGCAAACUAUGAGCUAUAUGAUCAAGAGGAUGUUGAAUGGGACGGGCAGUAUUCAAGUGGUAGGAAACGUCCGGUGCGCGAUGCAGUAGCUAUUGACAUUGAUUCCUUUGCUAGAAGACCCAGAAAACCGAGGUUUGAGACACGAGAGGAAGUCAACCAGCGUAUGCUGUCUGUUGAAAGGGCUGUCAGGGAAGCUCUUAGUGCAAAAGGGGAGAGGGCAUUUACUGAUCAAGAGUUCCCUCCAGAUGAUAGAUCUUUAUACGUGGAUCCAGGGAACCCUCCUCUAAAAUUGCAGGUACUGUUCAUGCAUAUAUGUGCUCUUGUGCACUAAAUAUUGUUCAAGUCUUUACAAUUGAUUAUUGUAUGAGUUCAGGUUGUUUCUGAGUGGACGAGGCCUUCUGACAUAGCAAAGGAGAUAUCUAUUAGUUCUCAGCCAUGCUUGUUUUCUGGUUCCGUGAAUUCCUCGGACGUAUGCCAGGUAUAUAGUUUUUGGUUUGUGCCGGUCUGGUAUUUUUCCCUACAGUAGAACUUUUUAGCAAGAUUAAACCAUGUUUUGAUAGUACUAACGAAUUUCCCUAACUGUUCUUUUCAGGGUCGGUUGGGAGACUGCUGGUUCCUGAGUGCAGUUGCAGUUUUAACUGAGAUGUCUCGUAUAUCUGAAGUUAUAAUCACUCCAGCAUACAAUGAAGAAGGGAUUUACACUAUCAGAUUCUGCAUUCAGGUAUUCGAUAUUCUGAACCUAUCUCUGAUACCAUGUGAGGAAAUAUUCAGCUUCUAUUUCCAUGAGGCCAUAGACCGGUAUAUAUACGCGCACAUGUGAAGUAAAUAGAUGGGAUAUUACACCACUCAGAUUAUUGGCGUUUCUCCUAAACCUAGAGAUGUUAGCAAAAGUCCCAUAUUAUAUUUGAUGCCUCUUUGUUAUCAUAUACUCCAACAAACUAACAAAUAUGAAUUACCUUGCUGCCCAUGUGGGCUAGCUGUCCCAAUUUACAUAUAGUACAUUAUGCAUGUAUUGCAGUAAAAAAGAUACCAAAAUUAUUCAUUAGUGCAGUUUAAUCAAUUUAGCACAUGCCUGCAGUCCUGCACAGUUCUGUUCCCCAUUUAAUUUAGUAGAUUAUGCAUACAUGUAUUAUAGAUCAAUUCAUUAGUGAUCACACAAUUUCCCGAUCAAACUCAAAAGUAUCGAAGAGAACGAACUAGUGCACACAGAGAUUUGUCUAGGGUGCAUCAUAGUUUCUCUAGGGUUUAUGCAUUAUUUUCCACCAAUAAUCUAAUUCAUUUUAUGAGCACUAGAGCAUAUGCAUUAUCUUCUGACUUCCGCUAACUUGACUCUUUCUUGAUCACGCUUUUCCACUAGGGUGAGUGGGUGGCUGUGGUCGUGGAUGAUUGGAUUCCCUGCGAGUCUCCUGGAAAACCAGCAUUUGCUACGAGUCGGAAACAAAAUGAGCUAUGGGUAUCCAUUCUUGAGAAAGCUUAUGCAAAACUUCAUGGCUCUUAUGAGGCGCUAGAAGGCGGGCUUGUGCAAGAUGCUCUAGUAGACCUCACAGGAGGAGCUGGCGAGGAGAUUGAUAUGCGGAGUCCCCAAGCACAGAUCGAUCUUGCUAGUGGAAGAUUGUGGUCUCAGUUGUUACAUUUUAAUCAAGAAGGUUUUCUUCUUGGUGCUGGAAGUCCCUCUGGCUCUGAUGCUCAUAUUUCAUCAAGCGGCAUUGUUCAGGGACAUGCUUACUCCAUUUUGCAGGUUUGCUCUCGUUUGUUUGUUUUAACUUUUGGCAGUCUCCAUUCUACGUUGAUACAUUUAUACUGUAUUUUCAGAUAAGAGAAGUUGAUGGCCACAAGCUUGUCCAAAUUAGAAAUCCUUGGGCAAAUGAAGUUGAAUGGAAUGGGCCAUGGUCAGACUCGUCACAGGAGUGGACUGAACGAAUAAAGCAUAAGCUCAAGCAUGUUCCACAGGUACUAAUCUUUUCGCGGCUAUAAUUUUGAGUGAGUAAAUUGUACUCCAUUAGCUUUCAUCAGAAAGGAUUAACAUUGAUUUUUUUUGUAUUACCAGAACAAACAAUAUAUUUUUAUUAUGAAAAAAUGUUCCACACAAUUUUUACCAUCUCAAUGUCUAAGCAAUCAAGUAAACAGAGUGCAGUUUAUUUUAAAAUAGUUUGAAAAUUAAAAAUAUCUUAUUUAUCAGUACUUCAAUAGCCACCCCCUGCAAUCUUUGGUUAUAAAUUGUCUCUUUCGAAAAAUAGGCACCUGCAUUUGAAUUUAUAACCCUCACCACUCACCACAGUAUCUUAUUGUCUAUUACUGUUGUUGCAGUCAAAGAAUGGUGUAUUCUGGAUGUCUUGGCAAGAUUUUCAGAUCCACUUUCGAUCAAUAUAUGUUUGUCGUGUUUAUCCACCUGAGAUGCGCUAUUCUGUCCAUGGGCAAUGGCGUGGCUACAGUGCAGGUGGUUGCCAAGAUUAUGACUCGUGGCAUCAAAAUCCUCAGUAUCGACUAAGGGUAACAGGACGUGAUGCACUGUAUCCUGUCCAUGUGUUUAUUACCCUUACACAGGUAUGUGCCAUCUGCAUGUUAAUAUAAGACUUGAAGAAAGCACUUUGAUGCUGAUUUUGACACGGACUUCUGCUUGUCAGGGUGUUGGUUUCUCUAGAAAGACAAAUGGUUUCAGGAAUUACCAAUCUAGUCAUGAUUCUUCCAUGUUUUAUAUUGGAAUGAGGAUACUCAAGACAAGGGGCUGCCGUGCUGCUUACAAUAUCUACAUGCAUGAAUCCGUUGGCGGGACAGAUUAUGUAAACUCAAGGGAGAUAUCGUGUGAAUUGGUCUUGGAACCUUAUCCGAAAGGAUACACAAUUGUGCCAACAACUAUCCAUCCAGGGGAGGAAGCACCUUUUGUUUUGUCAGUUUUUACAAAAGCACCAAUCAAACUAGAAGCUGUUUAGGGCAAGAUUGAGACUCCAUGCGAUUGCUACUGGUUGCUGUGCCUCACAGCUGUUUGGGGCCGAGUGACACAGAGUCCCAGCUGUGGGUUCAAGAAGACCAGGAAAUGGGUAAGUGCUUAAUCCUUGCAGUUGUCUAUGUUCCGAUUUUGCAUAUUUCCACCGGCAGUAUGGUCUAAUGCUGCAGUGUUCUCCAAACUAUAAACAACCUAGGUGUGCUGCUACAUGCUGCUGCAUUAAUUUAGAUAAAAAGAUGGAAUUCAGAUAACUGACGAACCUUAUAACCAUUUCAGGGUAUUUGCUAAGAGCAUUACACCUAUAGCUGGGAUUUAUGAUGCAGCAGCUCUGCACUUGGACCUGAAUGUGCUGGAAUCCAUCAGGGCGCUCUACUUGCAAGCUGAUGAGAGAAGGCAAUGUUUUUGCUAGCAAAGAAAGAGGAGGUAACGUUUCCAGUCAGCAGGUUGCAUGGCGCGAAUUGAUCGGUGCAUGUGCCGGAUGAGAAGAAUCGUGGCGUUUUGUGUCCAUGCUUGUAGAUAGCGGUGACAGCUGACAUUUAGACCUAGUAGCCCAAUCCUGUGUAUACCUGUCCGUGUUACCCCUGUACAUACUAUAGAGUUAGAUGAGUUUAACCUUGCGCCUGUCGUUCUUAAGCGCAUAUCGCUCUUGUGCAGCUUGGAAAUGCCGUUCUAGCAAGCUGCAGUUUUGCUGAUCCAUAACCUGAGGGUAGUCUGGCCAUAGUUGUUUUCAUUGAUUGCCUGUAUGUAAUCCAAAUCUGAUCUCAUUGAAAGGAAGCGAUUUUUUGGUAUAUGAUGUGAAGCCUCUGUUCCUGUGCUCGUCAUUCACCCAGUGUUGCAAUGACUAAAGGGAUUCUGCUUUUCCCCUACUAAAAUGGAUUCGGAC
RNAcentral lists this long non-coding RNA (78866 nucleotides) under Triticum aestivum (bread wheat). RNAcentral describes it as "long non-coding RNA (TAES_LNC013543)". Lineage: Eukaryota; Viridiplantae; Streptophyta; Magnoliopsida; Poales; Poaceae. The record is from RNAcentral.